AAACUCAACCUCUGAAGUAGGGUGUGUUUGUUAUACAGAAUUACAGUUCGUACAACCGUGUGAGUUCGACAAACUCGACAUCUCGCGUCUGCGCCACAGUGAUAUGGUGAGUGACUCGCAAUUCCUUGUCUCUCACUGAACGCUUAUGACCUGCAAUUCCUCAUCUCGUUCUGACUUCAUGAUUAACACCGAUGCCAUUAACAUACUGAUGUUAUAUGAAAUUUGAAUCAUGUUUGUUUGUUUGGAUGAAUGUUGUUUAGUAUAAUGUUUUCUCUGUACUUCUCAGUCUCCAAUAUCAGCAAUCAACUCCUCAUCAAAAAUGCAUAUAUCCGUAAUUAAAUAGCAUUAUUAUUGCUCAACCAACUUAAUUGGUUCAGUACGUAACCAUUUUCCACCUAACCGACAUAUAUAUAUUGGCCCCAUUCCUCUUUAUUGAGCUUCACAGGUCCUUUGGACUCCAUUUUUGUUUGCUAGUACGUACGUAGCUUUAUAGUCCCUAUUUUCUACGUAACCAAACAAUAUCGUGUCACGCUUGUGAUUAGUAUACAAUGCAUGUACGGGUCAUAAUUAAUUAGAUAGUAUAGCUUUUAUUUUUUUUUUAAAAAAAAAAUCAGGUAUAUAUUCAAUGUACUAACGCAAAUCAUAAAAAUUAUUUAGCAAAACUUUUGUUAGUAUUUUGAUGGGAUAAGUGUAGUCAAUUUUUUUAUGUUAAUUAUAGCAUUUAAUUUGGGCCCAAUAACACAUCAAUCAUCUAAUAAUUUUAUUUGUUAUGUGAAGGAAUUAUUGAAUGUGAAAACUUCAAUAUUGCACGAUAUAAGCCUUCAAAUAAUUCGAUGCAUUUUCGGAGAUUAAUGCUUUUCCGUGUAUGAAACUACUAGACCAUAUAUUGCGCAAUAGGUGUUAAUUAUGGCACCAUAAAUAUUAAUUAAUUCAUCAAAUAAUGAAGGCACAAACUAGUUUGCAUUAUAAAAUGUGUACAAGACUAGAAUAAAAUGAAAAUAGAGGUUCUUUUUAGCCAUAGUAAGAAAUAUUAAUUAAGGAUGAAAAGGAGCAAGCAUAGCGCAGUAACUAUUGCUGUAUAUAACAUGAAGUAAAAGCAAUAUCAAUAUUUCUUAUAUUUCAACAAUAAAGCCUAAAAAUAACCUGAUCAAUACGUCGAACCGAUAAACUAAGCCUUCUUGCUUCUAUUAAUAAAAUCAUCUUACAAAGAUUAAUUGAUUCCUAAGCCUAAGAUUCAACCACCAAACAGAUCGUCUCUAGAGCAAGUGACAAAGGGCUUGAUGAUUGGUACUCGAGACCCAAGUUCGAGUACUAGUUGAUUCAUAUUUCCAGCUAAGUUUAUUUCUAAAUGAAAUAAAACGAAACGGAUAGCGUGCUACCUAUCUCUCUCGAAAAAAAAAAAAAAAAAAGAUUCAACCACCAAAUAUUAUACUUGAAUAUUCUUUGUUUGCUGAUUUCGACACACACAAACCCAAAAAAAAAGGAAAAAACAAAAAAGAAAAAGGCCAUUAUGUUAAUUACGUUUCUUCGCCUAACAAUUAAAUUCUGAUUAUCCAUAACAAAAUCGUACUAUUCGACAAAUGAAUUAGAUUUGCCAUAUAUGGGACAUAUAAAGGAUCCAUCGUUUUGUUAUCUUAGCAACUAUAUAACAUGUAGCUUCCUAGUUCUAAGUUUCACACAACCAUGCAACCAAUUCAUAUAUAUAUAGUACAUUAUGAUACACAGGUUUGGAAUGUAACUUAUAUAUAAUUUUUCCCAGCUAAUUAUCAACCAAAAAAUAAGCGAACCUUCGCGUCUCUUUCUCAUUCAAAUAUUGAUUGCAGUAUUUGAGUACCAAAAUAGAGCCGUAGCGAAUCGGAUUGGACUUAUUCGAAAGGGCGAAGAAAUUGAAUGCGACAUUAAUCAAAAGCGGUCCCUUGUAAGUUUCGCGACUCGCGGUUUUGUUUAUUUUGUGAAGAGAAUUAGACAAAACUUGAUCUUCAUUAUGUUAAGAUGUCAACUUCGACUACACCCCAAAAUGGUGCACUCGUGCAUCGCUAUAAUCUCAGUUGAGAUAGUUAUUGUGAUGGAGAGUUUGGAAGGAGACAUCCUAUCCAACAACUAUUUUGGUUCAACUAUUUUGGUUUUUUUUUUCCCUAUUAGUUUACUUAUAAAAGUUAAAGUGUUCUGCUGGCUCGUCCUCAAGAAGAGAUCGCUUACUGUAGAUAAUUUAUUAAAAAGAGGAUGGAUAAGCAACACGAAUUGUGUGCUGUGUGGGUCUGAUAUGGAAACAGUAGACCACCUUUUUUCUCAAUGUGUAUUCUUCAAAUUUCUUAUGGUGAUGUCAUUGGAGGAUGUCCAAGCAGGAGAUUUGGCCGAAGAUGUGCAUAUGGUUUGGGACAGACGAAGCGGAAGGAUGGGGUCUCAGUCCAUGAGCGAUGGUUUACCUGGACUAAUUGCCUGCUGGUGGGUUAUUUGGGAGAUCAUGAAUGGUGUGAUCUUGAGGAGGAAUCAGACUGAUCCAAUCCGUGGUUGUUAUAAGGUUAAACAGCUGACGUACCUACGNGCAAAAGGAAAAGACUUGGAGCUCUUCUUGGCCUCACUGAUUUUUUGAUUUUUUUUAUUUUUUUUAUUUUUAUUUAUUUGGUCUUUGUCCAGCUUUUCAUCUCUUCAGAGGUCUUGUUGCCUCACCCAUGUAGCUAAAUUCAUACCCUAAAUGAAUGAAGCGGGUAGCGUGCUACCUUUUUCUCAAAAAAAGAUAGGCUUGAAUCAUGUUUUUCCUCUUCUUCUCAUAUGCAUUCACUCUCACUGUUUCUCUCUCUUGAUCUCUCUCUUAUUCAAACCCUAAAUUUGAUUUCCAACUUUUCCCCCCCCCCUUUCUUAGCUUAUAAAUGUAAAGAAUAAGGUUUUCUUCUACUCCACCUAUAUAUAUAUGUCAUUUGCAAAUUAACUUUUAGAACAAAUUUUCAACUUAAAAAAUAGAAAAUAAACAUUUUACAAAAAAAAUUCUGAAGCUUCUGACCAAAGUCGAAGUUAAAAUAAACUUUUGAAUCAUAAAAGUAGAAGAUUGAAAUAGAAAGAAUAUAAUUAAAAAGUUAAUAAACUUUGUUUGAUGUUUUUUCAAUUAGCUGAUCUUUUUGAAUUAGUAGGAAAUGUUUGAAUUAGUUAAUAAAAUUUUAGAUUUUUUUUUUUGUCGUAAACAGUUGUUUGAACGUUGGGACAAAGAAGCAAGAAUUUAGGCACAAAUUCUCUUGUUAGAGUGGUUUUGAUUUUCUAGCUUUUUAUUGUAUUUUUUUCAUCUUUCCUACUGAAAUUAUUUUAUUAACCUCCUAAAAUUUUUCAAAAAGAAAAAUGUUGAAUUUAAAACUUAAGGGCCGUUUGGUUGCAUGUAGUUGCAACUGUACGGCAGUUGUAACUGUAUAUAAAUACAAACUCGGUAUUUGAUUUGAUGUAUUUAACUCCAACUGCUGCAGUAAGAAGUGCAGGAGGUGGUCCAACUGCAACAGUUGGAACAACGCACAAAUUGGCUGCAAUUCUAACUGCAACAGUUGGAAAGUGUAACUUUAAAUAAAAGGUAACCUUGCCUCUUUAAAUAUUUUUUAAAUAGAAAAUAAAUUUUUUGUUACAUUAGAGGUAAUCUCACCAUUAUAUAUAUAAAAUAAUAAAAUUUUAAAAAUAUUUCUCAACUGCAUGGAACUAAAUAAAUUAUUUGUAGUUGCGGCGCUUUCUACUACAUCCAACCAAACAUGAUGUAUGUAAUUAUAACUGUUGUAUUUUUAACUAUAUGCAUAUUUAAUUAUAUUGUAUUUAUAAUUAGAUACAACCAAACGGCCCUUAGAUGCUUUAAUUUUGAUAAAGCAAUGUAUACCAAUGUAGUCAAAUUUUUUACCAUAUUCUCAUAAGGGAACAUAUAUAUUCCAAAAUGGGAGCUUUAGCUACCACCAAUAAUUAUGUUGAUUUUAAGUGAUAUGACCAUUGCAGGACCCAUCUAGAAGCUAAUGUCAUACCAAACAAUGAUGAGUUUCCUAGCCUCCUAUAAGAGAAGGAUAUUACUUGCAAGCCCAGGUACAUUAAUGAAUAUCAAACAUGACCUGAAUCAUUCACAAAAAAAAAAAAAAAAAAAAAAAAAAAAAGAGUAUCAAAGUUCCUAUCAUUCAAUAUAAUAUGCAAAUUAAGUAGCCUCAAAGAGAGUCAAGUUACUUUUGGUUACAAUUUCCAUUCCUAGUAAGGAGUUUAAAAGCAACAUUUAGCCUCUAAUUAAUUAUUACUUGAACUUGCAUAGCUAGUUUCUUGUUUCAGCAAAAUAUGUUUAAAACUGUCACAGUUAUUUCUCUCCCCCCUGUUUUUAGAACAGAAAACAUAGUAUGAUUUGUUAUUUUUUUAAAAAAUAUAACUGUAUCUUUUAGUGUGAGUUAUAUUGAAUUCACUGUUUGAUAAACAGGUAAUACUUACUUUUCUUUGAAUAUUACCCCAAAAGGUUCCUUUGUUGGGGAAUAAGAAGUAGCAUCAGAGGUGCCUAGCAUAUCCUUUUGGAUAGAGACAUAAAUGGCAAAAAAUUAAUUUACAAACAUUAAGGCUCCAGUACACUUUAAUGACAAAUUUUAAUUAAAUUGAGAAAUAUCCAUUCAUACUAGUGACUGAGUUAUAUAUGCAAGACAUUCUCUGGUGUUGAGUUAAAAUGGCACAGAAGGAGGUUGAGAUAUGCACUGUAACAUAUUUAUUGGAGGAGAUUGUCACAGUUGUAACUACAUAUUACAGGCGUAAAAUUGAUUAUUGCAUGUACAUGAGAAAAUAUAUAUUCCCCGAUUUAAGAGUGUGUGUGUGUAGCAUCGUUAGUCGUUCGAUCACUACUAUUACUACUAAAUUAUGAUAUUAAUUAAUAAUUAUAUCUAUAAAUAAGAGUGUAGAAUAGGUGCUUCGAAUCACCACAAGGAAUAGGAUUCGGCGCAAGUGCUUAAUUAUAUGUCUGUCAUAGAUAAAAGAUUCAGCUUUCUAUUUUUUUCUUAGAAAUAAAUAAGUUUUUUUUUGGAAAACAAUUUGUUCCUAAAAGUAAGUCCAUGUUCGAGAUGAACCAGAACAAGUGCAUCUAUCUAUUAUUUGGAUGCGAAAGAGAUAAUAGUCACCAUUAAUCUUAGUAAAUUAAGAUGCCCUAAAUCAUUCGCUUAAGCGUAUUGUUUUCCAAAAUUAUUUCUCCAUUAUUAUUCCAAGGAUCUUGGAAAUGUAUGGGGAAAAAAAAAAAAAAAAAAAAACCUCUGUUCUUAGACUUACCAUGGUGCUAAAAAAUUUCUUGGUUUGAUUUAAUUACUCUAACACAUGACUUGUGAAAUGGAACUAUGAAAUUGUCUUUUAUAUACUUUUGGAUGAAAAGAAAAGAGAAUGAAGAUGUGCCCUCUUUGAAUCCACACUUUUCAACCUUUUGAGUGGCACAUUGUCCUUUAGCAUGAUUACCAGAGCAACUUGAGGGAAAUGGUUUUGGGCCCCUAAAUAUAAUAUAAUAUAUUUUUUAUAUAAUAUUUAUAAAGUUUCUAAACAACUCAAAAUCUUCCAUAUUAUAUAGGUCAAAAACAGCAAAAACACUCUUCUAAGAACAACAUUUGAAAUACUGUAACUCCAUAAACAACAAGAAUUCAAGAUCUUCUGAAUGCAGUGGGAAGUUGAUAUGUAAUAAAAUUAUUAAACAAAAAAAUUAUUACGACGACCGCAUAAGCAGAAAUGAAAACGGCGAACAUAAAAUGAGAUGAAUAUAAAAAUUUAUGCAAAAAAAUUUUUGUAAGAAAAAAAAAUCGCGGGUGAAAAAGAAGAGAGCUUUACUGUGAAAGAGAGAGCAUAAUAUUUUGAAAUUUACAAAAUGCUAUAUCGUGUCCAGGGAAAAAGAAAAAAAAAAUCUUAACAAAUUCUUCACCCUUCGCUAUCCAUCACGGACAUUUAUUUUUUUUCACAAUUUAUUUAUUUUUUAAAUCUAUUGCACUGUAAAAUUGUCGAUGUAUCGAGAAUCCAAAAAUCAAAAUCAAGCACCGCAAAAUUAUCGACGAAUCGAAAAUUCAAAAAUCAAAAUCGAUAACCAAAUUUUAAAACACAUAUAAUAACUUUUAAUCUAAAAUUUUUAUUUCUACAUUAGCGAAAUGUGAAACAUUUUUUUUUUUUUUGAGAUUUUCGUACUGGGUUUAAAUCACGUGCCAGAGUGUUUUUGCCCUCGAGAAUCUUGUGUUGUCACCAAGCAAUAAGCAAACAAACAAAUAAAAACAGUCUCUUACAUCAUCAUCACCACAAGAAGGAAACAAGGAGGGAAAGAGCAAAUUGAUCUCCAAAAUUACCAAACCCAAACCUCCACCAGAUCACAUUUUUCUCGUGUUUGUUAAAUCCCAUCCUCAAUAAUAAUAAUAAUAAUAAUAAGUGCAGGGACGAAACCAGAAAUUAAGAUUUGAUGGGGCCAAAAUUUAGAUUCGAUAGGAAAAAAAUUUGAUCUCGGAUAGUAAGAAAAAAAAUUUGUCAGAUUCACAGAUAACGACAAUAUACUAAAAAAGGAACAUGACUGUAAGAGUUGAAGGGAAAGAACCAAAAAAUUCGAAAAAAAAAUUGAGGCAUAAAUUUUGUUAAAAAAAUUAAUUUGGCCCCCUAAAAUUAAAAUUUAUAAUAUUUUAAUUUUUAUUAUAAAGAAUUUUUGUAUAAUUUUAAAAAAUUUAGGAGGGGCCAUAAUUACUGUGGGCUCCUCAAUAGCUUUGUCCCUGAAUAAGUGUGCAUUAAAAAGGAUCCUCUUUCUACGUGGUUAAAAAUAUUUUUCCCCUCCCUUGAACAUUUCAUUUAUUAGUGACUAACCCUACUGUGUGCCCAAUCCAAGGCUUUGGUAAGCCACCAUUUGGACCAGUUCCCCUAAACCGAUUCGUUUAUUUCAUUUAAAAAUAAAUUUAGCUAGAAAUGUAAAUCAACUAGAAUUUGAACUUGGGUCUCGGGUAUCAACUAUCAAGUCUUUUGCCACUUGCUGUGUAAACAGUUGGUAUCACAUUAUUUUUUUUAAUUCACUAUUAUUGGAUCUAUACUAUUUUUUUUUUUUCAGAAAAUAAGUUACAUUAUUAUAUCUUUUAAUAUGGUAUUAAAAAAAGGAGGUUUCUAAAAUUUUUAUAAAAUUAUUUAUUUUUUAUAUUUUUCAUAUUUUGUCGAAGAACUGGCCAGGCCUGCCAAAAAAAAAAANAAGAGUGUUUUAAAAAAAAAAAAAAAAAAAAAAAAAAGGUGAGGAGUGAAAUCAGUAAUGAAGUACAAAUGGUGGACCGGGUCCACGAAGUGCUAUACUCCGAGCGACCAAUUUAUUUGGCCAAUUAUUACUGGAAUUAAGUAGCUAUGACUAAUAUCACUCCGUGGCCAUAUAAAUACCCCGAGUGCGCCUCCCUUUUUCCACUGCAGCGCCCCCACCCCCCCUUCGCCACCUCCCCUUCUCUCCUCUUUCUCUCCUCCCUUUACCAUUUUCGGGUGGUGGCGAAGGAGCUCGCUCUCAUCCCCCCUAUGAAGCAAUAAAACCCUAAAAAAGUUUCCCCCUAAUCUCUCUCUCUCUCUUUUGCCCCUCCUUUUUCUCCUUCGCCUGUGUUAGGAUGCUCCGCAGGUACAGGAUCUUCUGUUGCGGCGGCGGCGGCGGGGNAGGCCAGGGUCGCCGACGAGCCGAAGGCGGAGGAGGAGGUGGAGGAGGAGGCGAUCGGCGCCAUUAAGGGCGGCGCCGAGGUCCGGCGCUUCGCGUGGCCGGAGAUCGAAUCGCUCACGGCGGGGUUCACCUCCGCCGUGGUCGGCGAGGGCGGCUUCAGCACCGUGUACCUCGCCCGAAUCCCCCGCAAACCCUCCUCCUCCUCCUCCUCCCUCGCCGCCGUGAAGGUCCACCGCAGCAGCGAGCGCCUCCACCGCGCCUUCGUCCAGGAGCUCGACGUCCUCCGCCGCCUCCGCCACCCCAACAUCGUCCGCCUCCUCGGCUUCUGCGACGAUCGAGGCACUCCCCCUAAACCCUAAUCCCCCACCCCUUCCCCCCCUUCUUUCUCCCCUAAAUUUUUUUUUACAAACCAUAACGCGAUCCCUCCCGAUCUCAGAAGAAGGGGUCCUCGUGCUCGAGUUCGCCCCCAACGGGAACCUCCACGAUCGCCUCCACUGCGACCGCGGCCGCGGCUCCGCCGCCGCGAUCCCGUGGGCGCGGAGGGUCCGGAUCGCGUCGGAGAUCGCGCGGGCGCUGGAGUACCUCCACGAGGGCUUCGACCCCCAGAUCAUCCACGGCGACGUGAAGGCCUCGAACGUGCUCCUCGACUCCGCCAUGGGGGCGCGGCUCUGCGACUUCGGCUCCGCGCGCAUGGGCUUCUCCGCCGCCGUGGCCCGGCCCCGCUCGGCCCACGCCAUGCUCGGCUCCCCGGGCUACGUCGACCCCCACUACCUCCGCACCGGCGUCCUCACCAAGAAGAGCGACGUCUACAGCUUCGGCGUAUUGCUUCUCGAGCUCGUCACCGGCGCCGAGGCGUUCUCCGCCAACACCGAGCAGCUCUUGACGGCCGUGAUCGGUCCCCGCCUGCGUGAUUUGGAUGGCGACGUAGGGGAUCUGGUGGACCCGCGGUUGGGCCGGGAGUACGAAUUGUCGGAGGCGACGGCGAUUGCUGCGUUGGCGGCGCGGUGCAUCGGGGGGAAUCCGAGCAUGCGGCCGUCGAUGGCGGAGGUGGUGCAGAUACUGCAGGAGAAUGUUGCGGCCUCGAUCUCGGCCGGAGGUGAGGGAUCGGACGGGAAUGGUCGCGUGUAGAUUCCGUUUGAUAAUUUGUGAGUGUUUGAUGAUUUAUUGCACGGCACGAGACAUCGCGUCGAGUUCGCAGUCGAAGAAAAUAAUUUGAAUUGAAGAUGAGGGAAUGGAUCAAGUUAAAAAUAGAAAUAAUAAUAAUAAUAAUAAUAAUAAAUGGAAAGAAAAGAAAGAAGGGGGGAGAUGGUAAAUGGAAUCAGGGGAAGGUCAGCCAUUUUUGUGACUUGAGUGAUUAACAAUUAUUGAGUAUUUUGGCACAUAAAUUUCUCAUUAUUUGCUUGUUUGUUUAGGUGAAAAAUUAUGUAUAUAUAUAUAUAUAUAUCCCGCAAGAUGCUGUGUGUAAAAUUGGAUGUAAUCGUAUCUAACGAUUGAAUGGUUUUGUUCCUGAAACACGUACGUGUACAUGUAAUUUUUCUGUCUCUGGAAGUGUAAAUAUGAAAAUAAGAACUAUGCUCGGAGUGGUGUAUUUACAAUUGUAUUAAUAAAUAAUUGUUUUUCUGUAUGUGGCCCUUAAAUUUUCUACAGAUCUGAUGAAUAAAGAUUUUAUGUACAACAUUUCUUUCGAUUGAUUUAUCCAAGCAUUGAAACACUACAACCGCGAAGAUGAUUGAUUGUUAUACUUUGACGAUGCAUGGACAUGCCCUGCACACUCAGGCCACGAGAAAUCUACACCCUUCGUUGUGAGGGCGAUGUAUAGUGUGUAUCGGUGACUUCGAUGGACGGUGGAGGGUCUCGGCCGUGAUGGCGCGAUGAAACAUACUGCUGAUCCUACAAGCUCUUCCAAAAUAAACCAUUUGAGCCAUAUUUUCCUCUUACAAAUCUCGCCAAAUAAUCUUAUUAUUAUUAUUAUUAUUAUUAAUGUCAUUCUCAAAGUAGAGAGCACGUAACAUCAGGUUUUUUUCCGCGUGGCAUUGCCAGAUUACAAUACACUGUUCGACUAUAUUAUACAGCAAAUUGAGGGCCGUCGGAUUAAUAAUGCAUGUUUGAGAUUUGAUGAGAUAUUAGCGACGUCUCAACCGCCGGAUUUUAGCAUUCAAAUAGAGACGGCAGAGUAUAAAAUGCUUCCACAUUGUUUUAUUUUCUCUUUUUUUUUUUUUUUUUUUUUUUGAGAGAGAUAGAUAGCACGCUACCCGCUUCGUUUAUUUCAUUUAGAAAUAAACUUAGCUGAAAAUGUGAAUCAACUGGGAUUCGAAUAUGAAACCUCGGGUACCAACCAUCAAAUCUUUUACCACUUGCUCUAGGAGCGAUCAGUUUUCUCUCUUUUAUUAAUUAAUGUAUUUUGUAUUUUGCAUUGCUAGUGCGAAUAGGGGCUCGUGAAGAAUGAGUUGUGUGCGUUUGAAACUCGGUCAGCAGAAGGGGAUUGGACCAGUACAGUUCACCAGAGAAUUCAAUUAUUAAGAAUAAGUUAAAAAGAAAAGGUGUCAAGUGCUGUAACUCGUAAACAUAACUCGAAAAAUUGUUGCUUGGACCUGAUACAUAAAAGAACAGUUUCCUAAUCAUAAUUUUGCAAAAACUUAUGAUCUUCCGAAUGUAGACUAAUUAAUCCUCGCAAAGGUUAUAAAUCACAUUGGAUGGUUUAUACCUGGAUUCUUUUAAUAAGAUUUCUAUGGUAAAAAAAUUAUUGCAAAAUCACCAGCCGAUGCCAUGGACCAGGUCUAGGCAAUAAUUCAAAAGAGUGAUGGCCAUGUUGGGGUGUUGUGCUCUCCAAUUUGUUUAAUCUCAAUUCGUACACCCUAAUCCUAAGUCUACGCCUUAUUUUAGCUUUCAUUAGCAAAGUCUCCAUACUUUUAAUUCCUUUUAUAUAUAUAUUUUGCGACGAAACUGUAGGCAAAUUUUAAGUACUUUGCUCGCAUUAUUAUGAGGUGGGUGUGAUCUUUUUCUUUGAAAAAGUCGAAUUGCCGGGCCCAGAGGCAACAUGCCGGGUAAUCGAGUCAUAAUUAAAUCUAAUUAAGCAGUCAAAAUUGCUGGUGUUUUAUGCUCAAGCUAGCAGUGGAUAUCGAUCGCGUCCCCGAGCCAACAAUGUCUACCAAUUUCGACGCGCCAUUUUUAAUGAUUUGGAUCUGUCAAACAAAAAAAAACUAUUGAUUGAAUUCUGAUAUGCCUUACUUCUGCAAAAAGAUCUUUUGAUUUUGCGCUCAAAAUGGAAUUCAAUUCAACAUCAUGCUGCAAUAAAAAGCUUCAGAUCUUCUCUUAUAUCUUGUUUUUGUUGAACACUGCUAGAACUAGAAGCACAAAUUAUAGUAUUGGGCAGAUAUAUACUAAUUGUGCACAACAUCUUCCCCUGCACACCGACCGUCCCUAAAGCAAGCGGCAAAGGGUUUGGUGGCUAGUAUCCGAGGUCCCAAGUUCGAAUUCUAAUUGAUUCACAUUUUCAGCUGAAUUUAUUUCUAAAUAAAAUAAACGAAGCGGAUAAAUAAAAUAAACAAAAUAUGCAUCCAAUCUAACCAUGCAGGCCUAUCUCUGAGAAACUUCCUCACUUACUCAUUUUGUGUCAGAGGCAUUGACCCUAAAGUACAUGUUCAUAUGGGACAGUUGGAACCUGCAUCAGCCUCAAUUCUGGGGCCAUUGUCAAAGAACAAUUCCAACAGCACCAUGCUGGAUGCCCAGAAGGGAAUGAUAAGAGAUGGAUUAGUUGGCUCUUGGCCACCACUGUGAAUGGCCCUCCAUGCUGCCGGAAUAAUAAUGCCUCCCAUCGAGAAAAGACCGUUUUACCAUCCGAGGCAGUGUUUGGUUCGAGAACACUGAUAGUUCAUCCCAGUAUCCCGCUCUUGUCUGACUACCUCGUCAAACAUCAUGAGUUGGCAUGAAGGACAUCGAGCUGCACAGAUGUCUAACAAAUAUUGGAAAGAUACGAGUUGGCACCGAACUUUUAUUUGAAGAUAUGGGUUUUUCAAAUAACCGUUGUCUAACAGAUAUUAGAAAGUCGAUCGUAUUCUCUUAACCAGAAUAUGUGUUGUCUUUUAAAUAGUGUAGUUCACGAAUGAAGUGAUGUGUAGUAUUCUUAGUUUUCUGAGGAUCUGUAAUACAGGCUGCUAUAGAUGAUAGAUAAGCCCUUCCCGCGAACUUAUCUCUUCACAGACACACAGCUAAUUUGGUCAGGCAACAGUCACUUUCCAAAUAAUUUGAAUUUUUCAUGCAUGGCGCGCUCAUGCAUCUGCUCAGAAGCACUUUUUGAAGCCGCAAUUUUUUUGAGGGCGUGAGUUGUAACGGGGCUCCUCCAUGUGGAAGGGGCAUGUGAGGGCACGUGCUUCAGCUUCUCCCAUAAGUCCUUUUUAUUCAAUAAUAAUAAUAAUAAUAAUAAUAAUAAUAAUAGGAGCUGCAAAAAAUAUUGGUAGAUGAUGAGCAAUUGAGCACCACUCUUCCACUCAACCGAGGAGACUUGAAACUUUUUAUUUAAAAAAAAUAAAUAAUAAUAAUAACAAUAAAAACAAGGCCCUCUCCUCAUGCCACCUCAGCGAAUGGCCUACGUGUAAUGCUCGCCACGUGAGGAGGUGCAACUUGUAGCUCCAAAAGCUGGUUAAGUGCUUUACAACUCUCUCUCUCUCUCUCUCUCAAGUCUCAACGCAAGAGGAGGCUUUAAGCAAACAAAUGCACAUGUAUUUCACCUUCAAAGAGCUUUGCUUCCACCUUUGGGUUUGCUUUAUGCCAUUUCUUUAUUCUAAUAAAGCAAUGCUUGCUUUAAUACUUCCUGCGUAUUUUUAAAGUGUUGUUGAUGUGUUAGUAUAUAGUAUAUGUCUUGAGAUGCAUAUAUGAGAUAAUAUUAGUGCCCGUCACACAUUAUUGCUAGUGUCUAGUGCCAAGACUUUACUCGAAAUCUAUCACAAGCAAAACUUAUUACAUGCAUAUUUUUUUAAAAAAAUAUAAUAAAAAAAAUAUUGUAUUUGUUUACAUAUAUAUAUAUAUAUAUAUAUAUAUAUAUAUAUAUAUAUAUAUAUAUACAUAUAGAGAGAGAGAGAGAGUCCGGCUGGAAUACUAUCGAUAGCACGAAGCUUGGUCAUAUCAAGUUUUCUGCCCUAAGGGGUCCACAUCAUUCUAAUCAUAUAUUUUUUAAUUCAAUGAUAGAAAACUUACUAGCACCAAGUCAUUGGUACUAUUAAUAGUAUUCUAGUCUAGUUCUAUAUAUAUAUAUAUACUGCAGUAAUUAGAUUAUGAUAUAAUUUUACAAUUUUACUAUAUUUUUACAUACUUUUGCACUAAUUCUUUCUGACCCAACAACAUAAUAAUAUUAGAUAGCUUUCAAUACCAAUCAAGAGCUAAAAAUUGAAAUAUAUAGUUAUUUCGUCGGUCCGAAGGUUUUUGAAUCAUUCGCUAUUUCCUAAUUAUUGUAUAACGAGUGUUAUUUUAGAUGCUUUUUGUGGGAUCGGGAACGACACUCUUUAGUACAAAAAUUAUAUUGUCGAAUUGAGGAGAGAGUAAUACGACUUGUAUAUCUAAAAGUAAAUAUAAAUCUUAUAUCAUUUCAAUCGAAGAAUCCAUCGAACAAGUCUCAUCAUAUUAUUAUUUUUUAAUACUAAAAAUUAAAAAAAAUUGUCUAAACUAUUAAAUAAUUUAAUAAAUACAAAAUUUGUAUAUAGUUAACUUUUGAAUACAUAAAUAGCAUUUCUUUUGAAAUAAUGAGUAGCUAGUAUUAGCUAUGAUGCAAACAUAUGACUUAUACUAAAGCUUUAUUUUUUUUAUUAUUUUUUUAUAUAUAUUUUUCCAAAAAAUGAUUGGUAGAAUUGGCUGAAUGGGAGAUGGCAAAACAUCUCAUCCCCUCUCCAGCUGAGGCCUCCUUAUUGGUUCAUAAUUAUUUUUUUCUUUUAUUUCUUUUUUUUUUUAAAAGAUAGUAUUAUUUGUUUUAUAAAUAAAUUUAGUUAAAAAAAUAAAUUAACUAGAUUUCAAAUUUAAAACAUAAAAUAUCAACUAUUAAGCCUUUUUUUUUUCCUUUUAUUUAGGCUUCGUUCAUUUUUUUUUUUUUUUGUUCUUCUGAUAGUAUUGCUUUAGGGAGACAUACUAAUGAAAUGUACGAUCUAAGUAAAGUCCAUUUGUAAAUUAUUUAAGGGGUUUUUUAUUUUCACAAAGUGCAUCAAAAUGACUAGUCUUUAUUCACAAGAUUUCAAUCUCAACUAAUCUAAUUGACUUAAUUUAUUUAUUAACAUGUGUGAAACAUAAUUGAAAAAAAAAGAAAAUUGUUUUUAAGUAUUUCUUCGAUCCAACCGUACGAUUCUAUAGCUCUAAUUUGAAUGAUCAACUUGCGAACCAACAUAAAUUUGACCUCAAAAUCGACACGAAAUCAAACAUUAACUUAAUUCGAGGAUGAGUCAAUUAGGGCUGUUAAACCGUGCGGCUAUUCUACUAAACAAUUCUGAUCACGAAGCUGUUGAAAAUUUGGUACCGACUGUCCCUAGCGCAAGUGACAAAAGCGCUUGAUGGUUAGUACUCGAGACCCAAGUUCAAAUCCUAGUUGAUUCACAUUUCCAGUUAAGUUUAUUUCUAAAUGAAAUAAACGAAGCGGAUAGCAUGCUACCUUUCUCUCAAAAAAAUAAAGAAAAUUUGCUCUUAUCUGCGUCUACAGUUUCCGUAGCAAUAUCUCCCCACAAUGCGGAGUCCACAAUUUUUUUUUUUUCUUAUAAUGCAGAGUUAUCUGACUACUUCGUAUAUACAGUUCAAGAGCACUACAUAUAUUUGUCGAUGUAUCAACAAUCUAUAAAAAUAUUAUUUUUGAGGAGCUAAAACAUUUCCAAAUUCUAUACUGUCGAUCCCUCGCAAAGAGCCUGUCACAGGUAUUCUAGAUAGAAUUUGAAGACACCGUUCGAUGAAGUGCCCAAGAAGUUCGAGCGAAAGCCCAAUUUGGUGAUUAGCUCAUGGCACGAUCGUGACCUCGUAGACCGCAACUCAGAUAAUAACUACUCGGCUUAAUGACCCGAUUUGUUUAUACUUUAUACUAACUCAAAGUUGAAAUAAUAUUAACAAAAAAAUUUUUAUACUUUAUUAUUGUACUGGAGAAAAUACUCAACACACUAUCUCAUUUUUUGGGCUCAGGCCCAUCAAAGUAUAGGCCCAUUACGAGCUUGGGCCAAAUCGGAGUCGAGGUAGUAAGAGGAUCCGGAACUCGAUAUAUUUGAGUUGGUUUUAUGAAUAUACACCGUAAAUUGUUUGUUCUUAUAUUUAGUUACAUUUAGGUAUUUUUUAUCUCUAUAAAAUAUCCAUUUGCGUUGACCUCGAAUAAGUUUUUCCUAUUUAUACAAAAUAUGCAUCUCUCGGAGCAGUAACUCUAUCAGCAUGAAAGAUUUUAGCCGGAGUUCCCAAAAUUGUAUAGGAUGAUAAAAACACCAAUUCCAAUUUUAUUCAUAUACUUACCACUCAAAAGAGGGAGCUUUAUUCAUGUACAUAAUCAAAUAAAUGCCAAAGAACUAGCUAGGGCAAGAAAUCGUGCCCAGCUAUAAAGAAACUUCAAAAUAUUCUACUACCCUACAAGAUUUGGGUUCAAAGUGCGCUGCAUAUAUAUAGUACGCAGUCGACAAUUCUGUGUGGCAUAUAUAUCAUCUGUUGGCCGCGGCAGAACAGUUCAGUGCGUAGAAAUUUUUCAUUUAAUUGGUGGUGGGGACGAGGCGGGCCCUGAGAGGGUGCUUCAUGACGACGGUGAAUUGGGACUUCUCCGUCAAGUCGACGUCGUCCCCGUCGACCUUGGUCCACUGGAACUCCCUGACCAUGUUGGCGACGAAGUACUCCAAAUGCAGCAUGGCGACGUUGAUCCCCGCGCAGAUCCUCCGCCCCGCCCCGAAAGGCAUCAUCUUUAUCUCCCUACUCCCCGUCACGUCCACGUCCGCGCCCUCGCCGCCCUCCAAGAACCUCUCGGGCCGGAACUCCAUGGGCGCCUCCCACGCCGCACCGUCGAGGCCCAUCUCCCCCACCAUGAAGUUGAGCGAGGCGUGCUUGGGAAUGGCGUAACCCCCGAGCUCCGCGUCCUCCUCCGCCGCCGCGUGCGGGAGCACGAAGUGCGCCGGGGAGUGGCGCCGGAGCCCCUCGAGCACCACCGCCUUGAGGUACGGCAUGCGCUGGAGCUCCUCCUCCCUCACCUCGCGCUCGUGGGCCGCUCCGUCGUCCCCGCCGCGCGCGCCCACCACCUGUUCGAUCUCGGCCCUGAGCCGGUCCUGCACGCGCGGGUUCCUCACCAGCUCGGCCAUGAUCCACUCGAGCGCCGUGGAGGUCGUGUCCGUGCCCGCGUUGAGGAACUCGGAGCAGAGCACCACCAUCUCGUCGUCGGUGAGCGCGCGGCCCCCUUCGUCCGGGAGCGUCAGCCCCAGCAGCGUGUCCACGUACGCGUGCGCGAAGCUCCCUUCGCUCUCGGGCGCGCCGCGGCCCCCUCGCCGCGCCUCGAUCAGCGGCACGUAGAUCCGCUUCUGGCGCCCCCGCAUCUCCAUCGCGGUCUCCCACCGCUUCCGGAACAGGCGCUUGGUGAUCCACGGCGCGAACGCGAAGAUGUUGAGGUCGUACAAAAGGAGCGACCUUUGCGCGUCCCCGAUCUCCUCCACGGCCUCCUCGUCGAGCUUCGCCCCGAAGCACAUGAGCACGAGCAGGGCGAACAUGGCGAACUGGAGGCGUCCCAUCACGGCGACGCUUCCGCCGCCCUCGGCGUCGGCGCGGAGCUUGGAGAGGAGGAGCCGGAGGACCCAGGAGCGCGCCGGCGCGAAGAGGACGAGGCGCGAGGGGUGGAGGGUCUCGGCGACGAGGUUGCGGCGGAGGAGGCGCCAGAGCGGGCCGUAGGGGGCGGAGGUGAUAUUGUGGCCGUCGGCGGAGAAGAUGCGCGCGGUGGGUAGGGGCGCGGGGCGGUCCGCGAACGCGGCGCCGCGCGCGACGAGGGCGCGGUGGGCGAGGUCGCGGUCGGAGACGAAGAUGAGGAGGCGCGACCCCACGCGCAGCGACACCACGGGCCCGUACCGCGCGUGGAGCUCGCGCAGGAGCGGCUCCACGUCCCUCAACGAGCGCCGCAGCCACAGCAGGUUCCCCAGCACCGGCACCGCCACCGGUCCCGGCGGAAGCGGAAGCUUCCGCUUCUGCUUCGCCGCAUCGCCGCAGCUGUAGCUGCUUCUGCGGCGGAGGAAGAAGAAGCCGACGAGUAGGGCGAGGAACAGGGUGAGGGCGACGAGGAGCCCAGGAUCCAUCGCUUGCUCAACUAAUUCCCCUGUGCUAUUGUGGUAUGUUGCUUACUUAAUUUGUAUGGCUUAAUGUUUGUUACAAGCAAGGGGUUUAUAUAGUCGACCAUAUAAUAAUAAAUUAAUAACGGGGGAUACGGUUUUUAUCUUGUUACGUUUUUUUGUUUUUAUUAUAUUUGUUCUUUAGUUCGCCAUGUAUCCAAAAAUCUACUCAAAAUUAAUAAUUAAAAUUAUUAUUAAGUUCAAUAAAAUUUAGUAAAAUUAAUUCCUAAUGAGUUUCUCUAUUCAAUUCGGGACUUUCUCCUAUCUAGACUAAGACGACGCGUUUUAUUGGAAGGAAUGCACAGCGAAGGUUCGUUGGUGUACUACAAACAAUGCCAAAAUGAAAAAAGCUUAGUAUUGAAGCUUCUUUCUAAAGCUGAUCGAUUUGCCGUGCUGAAUAGUAGAAACUGAGGGCUUAACGAAACAAUAUUGUUUUUUUUAAAAAAAAAAAAAUAGAUAGCAUGCUGCCUAUUUUAUUCAUUAACGAAACAAUAUUGUUGACCUGAGAUUCGUCUGAACUAUGUAUCCAUGAAUCAUGGACACUUCCAAGCUAAUUCUAUGCUUGACUUUUAUCAAUUCUUUUCUAUUACUGUUAUUAUAUAUAUAAAAAUAUAGAAAUAAAAUUUUCUUAAAAAUAUUGUACCAGUGUAAAGUUAUUGUAUUAUUCUUAUAUAAUUUGGCAGAUUUAAUGUUAAAUAAAUUUUAUUAGCGUAACUAUUACAAAAUAAAAACUCUUCUUUAUGGGUAUUAGAAUUAGUACGAAUUAUUUGUAAACAUCAUGCCUGUAGAGAUCCAAAAAAUUCAUUAUAUUAAACGCAACUCGAUGUCGUGAGUUUUUUAAAUACGCGCAGAGUUUGAAUCUCUGACCUCUCGAUGAGUUUCUAAAUAUCCGAGCGUGUUGAUUAUUUGGUAGAACUAAUGCCAAUUAGCUAAAGAAAAGUAAAUGUUCAACUUGGAACACUAUUGCAGAGAAUUCUCCAGUCAACUCGCCUCUUCCUUUAAACUGCGCGUGUUCUAGAAGCCCUAUAUACUAAUAUUAAUAUAAUUUAUAAUAAUAAUAAUAACAAGAGAAGAGAAGCUUUGGUGAAAGGUCAAACUUUGCUGCUUGUGACGCAGAUAGGGAGAGUUGAACGGAAGAAGAAUCCUAAUGUAAUGGAGAAGCCACAUGAUUAUCUCUAUCUAUAAAAUGGUAUUUUUAUCUAUAUCCGAAAUUCUAUGUAACUGAAGUUGAAAAGGUCUUUCAAAAAGUCCUUGUUUUGUGAUCUUAUAGAGAUAUAAAUACCAUCUCAAUCUCAAAUCCAAUAACUAUUUCUGAACUAGUAUUUUUCUGUUCAGAUAUCUCACAUGCUAUAUAAUUUUUGGUUUUUCAACUGAUGUAAGUAACUGUUUAUAAUUAUUUUCUCAAACAAAAUGCCAAAUAAAAACAUGCAUGAUUCAGAAACCAAGAUAAUUAGGAUCUUCUUUUUUUUUUAUCGGGGAGAGUUUUUUACUCCACCCGAACACCAGGUAAAUGCGUGAUGUUACACUGCCUCCGAAGCAAACUAUUACCUCUAAAGCAUUAUUACACCAUUAAUUCUAUUAAUAAGAAAGUGAUUUGGUCGACGAAAUGUAUUCAUAAAAGUACAAGCUAUACAAACCAUUUUGAGGAAUUCAUCCGCAUACAUAAUAAUACAUGGGCAACACAGCGUAAAAAUGACUACAAAUACCUUCCAUUUUAAGAACACACGGCUCUCAUACCCACUACAGAUUAGUCCCCAAUCCUCAAAGCAGCAGCAUGGCCAUAUAGCUCGGAGUAAACCAACACCCACAACACAAACAAACACAAACUUCCUUAAGGAUUUUACAGAGCAAGACCACUUCAUGACCUAUUCCGAUCUAAUUUAUUUACAUUAGUGACCCUAAGAUUACAAAGCAAAGCGUCGCGCCCACUCAGGACGAUCUGGAAGAAGUCCCCAACUCGCUUCGAGAGUGAAUCUAACCCAUGUCUUAACUUAUCGACACUAUCAACCGUAUCAGAAAUGCACUCCAUCGGAUUAUCUUUCUCCUCCUGCUGUUCGGUAUUUUUCUCCGCUUUGACCACUUCUCUCUCAUGGAUAAAGCCAUUUAUUUGUUCUUCAGCCAAUUCCUCACAGCCAAAAGCACUGGUCCAUUCAUGCAACCUCUUUGCACAUGAUUCGGCUUCUUCCAUCUCUUUCACCGCAGUAUGUUUUCCGCUGGGAAAUCUCCUCCUAACUUCCUCAUUAACUGCUGUUUGCAACUCGUUGAAGGCCUCGGACCACAAGAACUCGUCUGGAACUUGCAAUUCCAUCAAAGGUUGUGGGCUACCUAAGAAAGCCGCCGCAAAGAAACUGCAUAUUAAUAUAGUCACAGCCUUAACUCCAUACAAAGCUCUCAGAAGUACUCUCCCUUUGGCCGAGUUCUUAACCUUUGUCAGGUGCAAACUACCCGCAAGAGACUGUAAAAUGGUUGAACAGUUCUCAAGCUUGGGACUCCUCAAGUUAGCUUUCUUCAAAUAAUCGUGGAGCGAGGCAUGGGCUUCUUGGAGCUGUUCAGCUGUUGGAGAAGUGCUUUUUCGGUCCAAAACGUGAAGCACGUAUUGGAGCAGAAGCUGGCCCUGAUCCAACCGGGCCAGCUCGGAGCUUAGAGCAAGGCAAAUGUCGAGCAACUUCAAGCUGCUAUCUAAGUAUGUAUCGAUCCACUUCUCGUCCCAAUCAGAAACGGGGAGCUGGAGUUCGGUUAUUAAGGCUUCAAUACUAGUGUGGGCUUCUGAUAAGCACUCAAUAGCAUGACUCAUCCAGCAUAAAGUGAAGACAUCUGAGGUAUCCUUUGGCUUUAAUUUUUUCAAGCUCAAAGAAAGUGCUUCUUCGAAGUUGUUCAACAGCGGCUGAAGCUUUCGAGAGAGAUGAGAUCCUUUAUUAGGGAGUAUUGAACGAAAGGGAUUCCCAAAGGGAAGAAAGUUCCGCUGCCCGUCAUGUGGACGACUCAUUUUCAGCUGCUGAAGAAAAAGAGAAGUUAUUCAUUAGCACAAAAGACUAACUGUAGUAUGUUAAGGUACCAUGCAAAGAAUCAGCACUCUGUAAACUAUAAAGCUCAGAUCAUUGACUUUGCUAAAGAGAGACGAAACAAGUAAUAUAGCAAAACUCACUUAAAUAAUAGAUAAGAUAAAAUAAAUAAAUAAUGGGUGUAUAAAAAAAAAAAGUUAGAAUUUGAAACUUAAGGAUUGCAGAAAAGCUUUUGGACUGCUUUCAGAAAUUUUUGGCAUUGCAUACAUAGAAAUAAUCGAGAUGAAUAGCUUUUGGCUGCACAAAAGCUCUCUCACAAAAUGCCACAAAUCAAUUUGGCACAAAAAAUCUCUGAACUGAGCUAAGACAAUCGAAAAGGUACUUUUAAGAGAGAUCGCAUUGUUUCUGCAAUCCCUUGUGGUUCAAUCAAGGAAAGCACAAAUUAGUAGUGAAUAUGUGCUCCCAGCUCUUGGAAAUGAAGACAUUUCAAGGUAAAGAUAUCCAAACUCCCUAACUUUACUAUUAAAAUCGCACGAACCAAAUCUACACCGCUACACCAACUUAUAAGAUCGAUUUAACGUGCUGUGUACUUCCUUCAUUUCUUCAUUAUAUGAGGUAAAUUACAAGACAAUCACGAGAUUUCUAGAACAAUAAUCCAUAUCGAUCCAAUUUAUCUACACCACUCUCAAGUUUCUGUCUUACUUCUCUAUUGCCUCUUCUAUACAUUAUGAAGAUAAACAAAAGCGUAAAGUAAAUCCACAUUCUGCAAAAUUGUUUAGUAUUGGACCUUUAUAUAUUAGGUAUUUGUGGCAUUUGGUUGCACCAAAUUUCCAUCCCUCGGCUGCCUAACAUCAACACAGUACAUUAACUCAAGCAAUAUAACUUAGCUGUCAUUUAGGUAUCCUUCUCAUCAUCUAUCAUCUACAUAGAAUAACCCUCCAAAACAAAUCCAAAGAUCUAUGAACCACAAUUAACAAAUAUACCUAUAUGCCGCUCAUGCAAUUUCACAAUCAUUAAUUACGCGUGUUAAAUUGGAUCUUCUCCUACCCAAUCACUUAAGAUUGUAGCACUUCAUGGAACUCUAGAUCCUUAGGUAUUCCCCCCCUCACAAUAGAAAAUUAAUAUGAAAGAUUAGGUGGAUCUGGACUUCUUCACAUAGCAACUUGGAUCUCCAAAAAGAGGACUAAAACAACAACCUCAAAGCAAUAGAUCUAACAAAUAAGAGUACUAUAGCAUCAAAAUAUACCAGUAUAAGGAAAAAAUAGCCGAUUCUGAAAAGAAUAACAAGCAGAUGCAAAAUAAAAAAACAAUUACCCAGAAAAAACUUAAUACGCAAAUAGGACUUGAAGAAACAAAAAACCCAGAUCUAAGCCAACAACCAACAACCAACAAAAGCUCCACCAAAGAACCCCAAAAAAACCUCUUUUUAACAACAAAUCCGUAAUUAGAUAGUCAUAAACCCCAAAAUAGAUGAAAAAUUGGACGAAACAUUACUAGGAUUAUGAAUUAAAGAAGGCAAUAGAUCUAGCACAUAAAACCAAUCUAGCAUAAAAAAAAUAUACAAGUAUAAACCAAGAACAGCCGAUUCUGAAGAGGACAGCAAAAAGAUGCAACUUAAUAAACAAUUACCCUGCAAAAAUCUAUUGCUAGAAGAGCGAUCCAAAAAACCCUCAAAUCUAAACCAAAACCAACAAAAGCUCCAUCAUAUAUCCCCCAAAACCCCUUUUUUCACCACAAAUCCCAAAUCAGAUAGCCCUAAAACCCAAAAUAUAUGAGAAAUCGCGCGAAUGACGAGGGAUUCUUACCUCGAGAGAAAGGGGGAACGUAAAUUGCAGAGGAAAUCAAAGUCGCAGCACCAAACACCACACUACGAUACAAAUGAGGCAACGUUCGCUACGAUGACCAAUUUACCAAGCCCUAAUCGAAAGGGACUAGAAAUUUCCCGACGCGUUUUGUGGACCGUUGAAAUAAUCAAAUUUUAAUUUAAUCCAACGAUCGAGAUCGUGAGCUGGCGUUGCUGACACAGGAAACACUCGUACGCACCUUCCCUCCGUGCGACACGUGUUCGAAUCACAUGACUCGGAGUACCUUCUAAGCCCGUGAAAACUUCGCGGACGUGAAACUCGUAACGUGCGCUAGUUAAGAGCAAUUUUCGGUUCCGCGUAAUUGGGGGGCCCCACAGGGAGACUUUCAUGUCAACAGCGUGGAUGGAUAGAGUCGUGCCGACUAGCUCUCUCUCUCUCUCUCUCUCUCUCUCUCUCUCUCUCUAUUACAAAAUGAAAAGUACAUAGUAUUCGAUAUUUUCAAUUUUUUUGAUUUUUAAAUUAAAAAUCGUACAGUUAGAAUAAUUACGAUCUUUUGUCAAAGAACCUACUAGAUUGAGUAAUUGAGUGGUCUUCACUGAAUAAUAAUAUUAAUUUAAAAAUUAAAAAUAAUUAUAAAAUUUAAUUUAAAGGUUAAAAAAUUAAAAAUAUCAGGUUCUCUAUACUUCCCGAUGGUAUAAUAAUUUUACUGUAUAUAAAGAGAGAGAAAAAAAAGAUAGGAACAUGCUAGAAUACUAUCGGUAACUAUCGAUUUAUUUUCGAUGCUAGAUCUUUUAAAUUGACGAUCGGUACCAUUAAAUAAGAUCUAAAUUAUUUAAACUAUCUAAAUAUAAAUUUUACACUUUUUCGAUAUUUUUCUCUUGUCCAUCAAGUGAAAAAAAAAUGAAUGGCUAAAAAUAAAUAUCUUUUUAAAAAAUAAUUAUAUAAUUUUUGUAUUUAAGAUCUACCGUCUAGAUCUUAUUUUCAAUAGUUUAAAAAAAUUUUAAUAAAAUUUAACUGAUUUGAAUUUUUUUAUAUCGUUAAACAAACAAACUCACUAUAUCGACCAUUAAAAUUACAAAUUUCGUGACCCUUUGAUCAUUCGGCCAUUGACGUCAAAAUAGUAUCAAAUUUAAUUUCUAAAUAGUUUAAAUCAUCUAGAUCAUAUUUAACGGUACCGAUUGUUAAUUUGGAAACUUUAUCAUCAAAAACAAAUCGGCAGUUUGGCGAGCCAUUUACUACUGAUAGUAGCCCAAUUAAGCUCUCUUUCUCUCUCUCUCUCUCUCUCAAUAUAUAUAUAUUAUAUUUAGAAUUUGAUUAAAAAAUUAAUUUGAAAUUAAAAAAUAAUUGUAAAAAAAUAUAUUAUGAUAGCAUUAAAGAAAAUAAAUAAAAAAAAAUAAAGAAACAGCUAAAACACUAUUACUAGGGCUCUCAAUAUGUUAACCAUGUCGGCCCAAUUGGGCUUAUGCUUCCAACUAAGGCCCACGGCCCGGGAUUGAGAAAUUCAAAUAAUUUUUCAAUUAAAAUCUCCCCAAUAAAUAUAACCAGCUAAAUAAAUAGAAACUUUGAAAACUGUUUGGUUAUAUAUAUAGAGGUAUUUUUUUGCUAUCAAGUUUUUAAUUCUUAAAUGAGAAAUUUGAGGGUUAAGAUGAUAUUAGUCCCUUAAAAUUGAGUGGUCCCCCUAGGAUUGAGUGAUUCCCACUGGGUUAUAAUAUUUAAUCCAAUGGUUAGAAACGAUAAAAGCAAUUGAUCCCAAGGCUAAAAAUUUGAAAGCAAAAAAGGCCUUUUGCUAUUAAUAGUUUUCUAGUCCAACUCUCUCUCUCUCUCUCUCUCUCUCUCUAUAUAUAUAUAUAGUUAUAAUUACACUACAGUUGUAACUAUUUUGAUGCAUUUGAAUCUAAUAGCUGUAGUUGGGAUUGUCUGCAUGAGGAGGUUCAGGUACGUACGGCAGUUAGAACCACACCUAAAUUAAUCAUAAUUUUAACUACAGUAGUUAGAGCAAGUAAUUUUAAAUAAAAGACAAACUUACCUUCUUAUUUACUUUUUUUAAAUUAAAAUUACUUCUAUUAGCCGGACUAAUUUGUUAAAUUAGGCCAUCAACUAGCGGGGGUGGAGGAAUCCGGUGAGGUCGUCAGGGUCGGCGGUGGCUGCAGAAAAUACGCAAAGAUACGGAUAUAUCUUGUGGGACUGACUGCAGGUGCGAUUGUCGGGGCCACAACGUACACCGCUAUCAAGUCGGACGACGAGGACGAAGGGUCACAGCAUCCAGCAUGAAGCUUUCGACGAUAAACCGUGUCCGAAAUUGAAAUCGAAUUGAAAUAAUAUCCCCUUUAUGACUUACGAAACGUUGGAAUUUAAUUCUAUAAAUGAAUGUAAAACGACUGUGAAUAAUGUUUUACUCAAGCAUGAAUACUUAUAAUUAUCAUUGUAUGCAGUGCGGGGUAACAACAAUGUAUCAUGAUCUUUGAUGUGGUGGAGUUCAUGCAAUAAUUCCUCUCAACAACUAAGUCACUGGUCAAAUUUGUAUAAUAUACGAUUGAUCAUAAAUAUAUGCUUACUAUACCAGUACCUCUCAUUGUGAAAUGACAAAACGUAUUAAAUACUUGAUAACUUUUCCAUAUAUAUAUAUAAUAUACGAUUGAUCGUAAAUAUAUGCUUACUAUACUAAUACUUCUCAACGGUUAAAAAUUUAUAAGUAUAAGAGGAUCUACACUCAUAAGAGUAUAAUAACCCCAUCCAUAUAUAUAUAUAUAUACACACAACGAUCACACUCUUAAAUUGACAAGCUUGUAACUGAAUACAAUUGAGAAGUUAAAUAUCAAGUAUAUGCAUAUGAUUUCUUGUCGUUUUGGAAUUUCUUUCUUUUUUUUUGUCCCAAAAUUGUAGUUGGUGUGAUCGAACAUCCGUCAAUUUGUUAAUUAAAUUGGAUGGAUAUAUGCACCUAACUAACUUACUAAAGCAAUAACAUGGUGACAGAAUAUCCCUGGGAUUAGUUCAUUGAUCUUAAUUAACACAAAUUACAGCCACAAGGUGAUGUUAUGUAUAUCUAAAUGCGGUAAAUAUUUUCCAAAAAAAACAUAAUAUUAGACAAAUUUCAAUAUUAGUAUAUGAGUUUUUAAGUAAAUUUUAAUUUGAUUCAAAAAAUUUCAAGUUGAGCGAUCGAACCAAAUUUUCAAAAGUGUCUCGCUCCACUUGGUCGUUGGCAUCGCUUCUAGUUAAUGGAGAAAAAAUUAUCAGCCCUUCAUCCAUCUCGUACUUUUAAUCCAACUAUUUAUUUUCUAAAUAAAAAGAGAGUUACAAUUUUAUAAUUCCGGGUAAAUUCUAAACCUGUGUUAGAAGUAUAUAUAUUCUUAUAUUAUGGCCUAGUUUUAGCAUGCAUGCAUUUUCAAAAUAUUGUUUUUUUAUUUUUGGAUAACAUCUCCCAAAAAAAUUUUCAUAGAAAAGUAUUUGUUCUUUGUGGAAAUUAACUAGCUGUUUGAAAAAUUAGCUAUAUUUAUUUGGAAAGUAUAUAGUGUGUGUGUAUAUAUAUAGAACUAUAUAGAGAGAGAGAGAGAGAGUCCGGCUGGGAUAUUAUUGAUAACACCAAGGGCUUAGUAAUAUCGAGUUUUCUACCGUUAAAUUUAACCCUUUAAUUAUUUUUACUCGUUGGAUUAUACCAUUCAACCAACAACCCACUCAACUCCAAGAUGCCCACAUCAUCCUAACUGCACAUUUCUCAAUGCAAGAGCUAAAAAAUUAAUAGCACCAAUAAUUUAAUAUUAUUGAUAGUAUUCCAGCCAAGUUCUAUAUAUAUAUAUAUGAGUUCGGCUAUUAUAUUUUUUAUGAGUACGAUUGUCUUCGUACUCAUAAGUUAUUUUUGAUGAUAGAGAUUCUGAAUAGACGAUCUAUAUCGUUAAAUAUUCUAGAAAGUAAAUUUUAUAAUUUUUUGACAUUAUUUACCUUACGAUCAACGGCCGGUAUGAAAUACUUGUUAAUUUAAAAGUGUAAAAAAAUCUAANUUCUAGAAAGUAAAUUUUAUAAUUUUUUGACAUUAUUUACCUUACGAUCAACGGCCGGUAUGAAAUACUUGUUAAUUUAAAAGUGUAAAAAAAUCUAAAUUGGUUGAAAUUUUAAUAAAAAAUUCUAUUCACUAUUUAGAUAAAAGUCAAUAACUCCGAUCUUAAAUUAAAGUAUCCGAUCCUCUAUUUUUAAGAAGUGGUUUGAUUUUGACCGUUCAUUUUAUAUCUAUUUGAUAAUAUCGAAUAUAUGUAAUAUUUGAUUUCAGAAUACUCAAGUAGUAUACAUUAUGCUCAAUGAUGCGGAUUGUCAAUUUGAAAGCUCUAUCAUUAAACACAUACUAUAAUACGUAGAAAGCUCUGCUAUACUUAUUAAGUAUAUUAACCUUACUCUCCUCUCUAUUAAUAUAUAUAAUUAAUGAACCGUUUUCGUAAAAAGGCAUCUAUAUAGCUAAUAGUUUACCACUUCAACUUGGUUUUACAUUCUAAUUCAUAUCAUACAACUGAGCGUGUAUCCCGGUUAACUAAGGAUCGAUAAUUGUAUUCCAAAUAUCAAUUCGAAGUUAAAUAUUUAUAUUUUUAAUUGAGUUCAAUUCUAAAAAAAAAAAAAAAAAAAACGGUGUGUAUAUCUAUAUCUAUAUUACUAUAUAUAAAAGCGUAUAGAAAUUCCGAUAAUGACAGACGAAAUCUAAAAAAAAAUAAAAUAAUAUUCUUACCAAAAAGAAUAAAAAAUAUUCCCUACGAAUGGUUAUGAUUAAUUUGUUAAAAAAAUAUCUCAAAUAAGAACAUGCAUGAUCAAUUUAUUAAAAAUACAUUCAUAUCCAUCUAUAAAUUCAAUCAUAUUAAUGAUUAUAAUCAAUUUGUUAAAAAUAUCUCAAAUAAAAACAAAUGUUAUGAUCAAUUUUUUAUAAAAAAUACGAUUCCUAUUUAUCUAUUUUACAUUAAAAUUAAAAUUUGAGUUUAAAUUAUGAAUUAAAUUUAAUUUUUGAUAUCAAAUCUGAAUUAACAAUUAAUUUUUUUAUUACAGUGGAUCAAAAUUAAAAUUUAAAUUUUAAAGUAAAUGUGAAUUAAAUUUUGAUGCUUUUAGUUCAAAACACAUAUUUAAAUUUGAUUAAUAAAAAAUCAAAAAAUAUAUAAAAAUGUUCGAUGUAUAUAAAAAAAAGAAUAUUGUAGGAUAUUGUAAAUAUUUUCUAAUAAAAUAUAACUUAUUAAAUUAUAAAUAUAAUUUUUAUUGUAAGAUUUUAAAUAUAUAUAAUGUACAAAUUUAUAUUGAUUUAAUAAAUUAUAAUAAUUGUUACGUUCACUUACACGUAUAUUCAACUAGUAUAUAUAAAAGUCCAAGUACAACAACCAUUGAUUAAAAAAAAAAAAAUUUUACCCUCACCUGCCAACCAACUCUAAUUGUGGUUUGGCUCUAUUAUUAAAAAGAGCCAAACAAAUAUUAAAAAGCACAUGUUUCUACUUGCUUGUUCUCGUUUCCUACGCAAGGACCGCUCCACGAGGUUACUUAAGAACGCGGCGCAUAAUCAAAUCGUCUAUGGGCGCGUCCCCACCAAAUUUAUGUGCGUCGACCAGUACCAAACCUACCUUAUACCAGAAAUUAUUGAGCGGACCCGGUCCACUUAUUCCACCACGUCACCGGUACACCGAGUAGCUAGUAAAUCAAAGAAAGGGAAAACUUCAAAUACCACUCCUGUAAUGUCCUGUAAUUUUAUUUUUAUCUUUUAUUAUCAAUUUCACUAAUUUUUUUUGUUGAAUCAAUGAUAAAAUUAAAACUAAAGAGUACUUAAGUAAAUAUUUGAUAAAUCUAGAUAGGAUAUCUAAAGUUUUCUAUAUAAUUUAAUAAAGUAUUAACGAAAAAGCUAACGAAAAAAUAAAAAUGAAAUCACAUGACGCUAACUUGAUACACUUUAAACCACAGAGUACUAAAAUGAGAAAGUCUGAAACCACACGAAUGAUAAUUGAAGUUUACCAUUAAAAAAUAUAUAUAUAUAUCCUUAUAUUUCCGCAACUAUGGGGUAUCAUUCUAAAUAGUGUAGAGUUAUUAUGUUUCUAAAAAUUGAAAUUUCUCAGAUAAAAAAUUAUAGAGUUAGUAUGAUAGUAAUCUUUCCAAGAGUUUAGUAAUAGUCUCUUUGAGAGAAUAAUAUUAACCAAGAAUUAGAAAUGGUCAAAAAAAUUGAUUAAAAAAAUUAAAAAAUUAGAAGCACUGCAUAAGUGGUGCUUCCGGAAGCAUUAUAUAUAGUUGGAUUCCUCUAAAUAUAAAAAAUAUUAUAAAAUAUUAUAAAUUUAUUACUGCUCAUCAAUUGUCUUAAAAAUUUUAAUAGUUUUCUGAUAAUUUUUUAUUUCUAAUGUUGAUAUUUUAUUACGCAUGUCAUGUUGUGCAAAUCGUAAAACAGUAAACUUUUCGAAUAUCUUGCUAAAUAUUAUACUCUUUACUGAUAGAAUUAUCUUAAUGAUAAAAAAUAACAAAUAUUAACGACGUUAUGAUAUUCUAAAAUUCUAGAAUAAUAAAUUAAAGUAUUAUAAUUUCAUAGGAACAAAUCAGUAAUGUCUAAACUUUUUGUAUACAUAUCCAAAUUUAAAAUAUAUACAUAAAAUAUUCAUUUCAUAAUUGCUUCAAAUUAAAAUGGUCCACGGCUGACGUGGCGGACCAAAUCCACCCACACUGCAUCCUCCCUUGCACGUGCCAAGGCGUGGAGGCCACGUGCGUUCCGGGAGUACAUCCAACUCUAAUUAAUAAUACAGUUAAAUUACAGAAAAAUUUUCUAUAAAUAUUCGUGUUUUUACUUUUUCUUUCAAACUUUUAAAAAUCUAUCUUUUACUCUUUUAAAAUUUUAAAAAUAUUUUCAAAGGAGUAAAGUGUUAAUAAAGAGAGCAAAAUGACCAAAUAAUUUUUUAUUCUUCUAUAAAAAAAAAUAACUUUCUGAUAUAUUUCUGUCAUUUUAAAAGAUAUUUUCAGUAUAAAUUAUAAAAAUGGAUGCAAUAGUGAUCGAAUCCUGACAAAGGGAAACUAAAUACAAUAACUUGAAAUUUUAAGACAAAAAAAUAUAGAUUUUUAAAAGUCAGAAAGUAAAAGUGAAAAAACGAUUAUUUACAGAAGAUUUUCUAUAAUUUAGUCUAAUAAUAAUAAUAUAAUAAUAAUAACAGUAUUACUAAGGAAAGGAACAGAAAACCAGCUGCAUUCAAUUCAAUGCCUACGCUGGUGACAAGCCCCCCCCCCAAAAAAGAAUAUGUGAUCAUCUUUUUUAGUUAUAUAUAUAUAUAGAAGAGGAGCUAGAAUUAGAAGGAGAGGGAGAUGGAGGAGGGAUUGGAGAGUGAGGUGGGGGAGGUGAGAGGGGCGUUUGAGAGUGGGAGAACGAGGAGCUUAUCAUGGAGAAGAUCACAACUCAGAGCACUUCUAAAGCUUCUGAAAGAUGAAGAAGAUGAUAUUUUUAAGGCCCUUAAAGAAGAUGUGGGGAAGCACCAUGUUGAAGCGUUUAGAGAUGAGGUGAGGAGUUUAAUUACUUCUUAAAUAUAUAUUAAUUUUCUUCUUCUUUUUUUCAUAUUAAUUUGUGUUUAAGCAUAUACAUACAUAUAUGCAUACUUUCAUUUAUGUUUAAUUAACUUAACUUUGGAUCUUUAAUAAAUUCCAUGAUUUUUUAGGUGGGUGUUCUUAUCAAGUCCAUUGACUUUGCUCUAGGAGAAAUUAAACGAUGGAUGGCUCCUCAAAGGGUUACUCUCUCUCUCUCUCUCUCUCCAUCAAAUGAUAAAAAAUUUUAUGAAAAAUUUUUGUACAGUGGAAUUAUAUAAAAAACAUAAUCAAUUUAGUAAUGGGAAUGAUAUAGUAAUUAUUUUAACAAAUUUGUUACUUUCAUUUUUUAGAGAAUGUAUAUAUUAUUUUACGAGAAUUAAAGUACAGGUGUGGGUGCCAUUGGUAGCAUUUCCGACUACUGCGGAGGUGGUGCCGGAGCCGCUUGGGGUCGUGCUUAUAUUUUCGUGCUGGAAUUUCCCCUUGAGUUAGUAGUCACAUUAUUGAUUAUCCUUCAUCUCUUUUUUUAUUAUUCUUUUUAAUUUUUUCCCUUCAUAUAUUUUAUUACAUAAGGACAUUUUUUUAACAAACUAAUUAAUUCUUAUAGUACUUAAUUAGUACAGUAAAUAAAUUCAAUAAUUGCCUAUUAUUUUUUGACGUUGUAAAUUAUAUUUAUCUUUUAGCUUGUAAUUUACACUGUCCUGCCAAUUAAAUGCGCGCUCGUGAUCAUAUUUUCAUAUUUGUAGAAUGCUAUAAAAUUAUGUUUUGCUAUCUGUUCUAUGAAAUGUUUCAUUAAAUUCCGCUAUGAAGGUUAGAGUAUUACUUACUAAAUCUCAAAUACAAUUAUUAAAUCUUAAGUUCAAUCAUUAUAUUCUAAAUUUUAAGUAUUAAUCUGUUCAUGUGUAUAUAUAUAUAUAUAUAUAUAUAUAUAUAUAUAUAUAGAACUAGGUUAGAAUACUAUCAAUAGCGCCAAGCUAUUGGUGCUAUUAAUUUUUUAACCUUUGGAUUGAGAAAUGAAUGAUUAGGAUGAUAUGGGCCCUCUGGGGUUGAGUGAGUGGUUGGUUGAAUAGUAUAAUCUGACGGAUAAAAAUAAUCAAAGAGUUAAAUCUAACGGUGAAAAAUUCGAUAGUAUCAAACCCUUGGUGCUAUCGAUAGUACCCCAGCCGGACUCUAUAGAUAUAUAUAUGAAUAUAUUAAUAAUAUAAUAGGGUAUUCAAAAAUAAAAUUUCUCGUACAGAAAAGGACAUGCAGCUGCUAACUUCUCAAUUAAUUACUUCUCACAUUUUAAUUCCAUGUCCUUGCAUGUGAAUCUAUAGUUCGUAUCGUCGGGUACUGCAGAAAAAUAAGUUGCAGAUAAAUUUGCUGUACUCUUGCACUCUCUCACUAGUGAAUUUCGUUGUGGCUCACCAGUAGUAUAGUUAGUAGGGAUCCAAUCCUCACGGGAUGCAUGAGGGGGCCUACGUUCCCUGGCACACAAACACAUGCGCGCGCGCGCACACACAAGUUCAAGUUACCAACUUGGCCACUUGUGUGAUCAUUUAAUCGGUGUCAUUAAUACGUAACAGAUAAUAAUAAUAAUAAUAAUAAUAAUAAUAAUAAUAAUAAUAAUAAUGCAUGCUAGGGUACGUCAUUUUCUCAUUUUUCCCCUCCUCUUGUGAUUUUUACUAUUAAUUUUCACUCGGUCAAAACGUUCUCUCUCCUCCUCUGAUGUAAACAUGCUCAUUCAUUGGGUACACCAAAAAUUCCUGCUGCUCGUGUCAGGUUUGAAUCAUCAUUUAUGGUGUAGCUUCAAAUGAGAAAUAUUAUUUGUGCAUCGAAAAAUAAUAUAUAAUCUCACACUCAUAUAUACAUUAAAGAAAAUUAAUUUUUUUAGAUUUUAAUAUUUUGAAAAGCUGAUAGUUUAAGUAUUAAAAUAUUGAUUCUUAUGUAAAUAAAAUAUAAAAUUUAUGCACACUUUUCUGNUGAGAAAUAGGUAGUACACUACUCGCUUCGUUUAUUUUAUUUAGAAAUAAACUUAGCUAGAAAUGUGAAUCAAUAAGGAUUUGAAUUUGAGACCUCAGGUACCGGCCAUCAAGCCUUUGCCACUUGCGCUAAGGACAUUCUAAGUACAUAUAUAAAUGAUGAGCCUCAGGAUGUUUGGAACUGCUGACAUUAUAGUCAGAGUCCAAGUACCUAACCAUUAGAUCAUACAAUAAAUUUUUUUAAAUGAAUUUUAAUAUUAAAAAAAUCAAUCGAUCCCCAAAAGCGUUGGAAGUGUAAUUUUUUCUAAUACUAAUUAUUAGAAUUGAUACUUAUACUAAUACCGAUUAUAUAAUUCAGGAUCUGAAAUAGAACAAAAUAAUAUAGAAAAGAGUUAUUAGAGGAGGAAGAAGGUAACUAAAUUAAUAUUUUAUUAAUUACACCCUUAGUCUUAUGCAGUUAUAUCUAUUGUGAUUGAUUCAUCUAAUUAACCCAUGCCUGGAUAUAUAUAUAUGAGUCCAGCUAUGGUGCUUGUAAAAGCACCAAGCACUUGGUGCUUAUAAGUUUUUUACCGUUAAAUUUACUUCUCGGAUCAUUUUCAACCAUUAGAUUAUACUAUUCAACCAAUCACCCACUCAACCCUAGGGGUCCCACACCAUCCUAGCCACAUAUCUCUUAAUCCAAUGGCUAAAAAUCUACAAGCACUAAUAACUUGAUACUUUUAAAAGUAUAGAAGCUCAAUUAUAUAUAUAUAUAUAUACACGAGUGAGGCUACUAUGCUAUCGGAAGCACGGAGCCUUCCGUGCUUCCGGCUCGUUUUCGAUGUUGCGAUUUUUGAAUCGUUGAUCAGCUCCAUUAAACUUGAUCUAGAGUAUUUGGAGUACCUAGAAAAUAAAUUUUAUUAUUUUUCGAUAUCAUUUGUCUAGUGAUCAAAUGAGCUCAAAAUCAACAAAUUUCAAUGACCGUAGUGAGUCGUUUGCAAGUUUAAUAGUGUAGAAAUAUUCAAAUCACGUGAAAUUUUGGUAGAAAAUUCUNAAAUUUUGAUAGAAAAUUCUUUAUACUAUAUAAAACAAAAUCAAUAUCUUUGAUUUAAAAUUUUAAUGUCAUAUUAUUACAUUUUGUAAGAUUUUUAUUUUCAGCCGUUGAUUUUGAGCCCCUUCGUUCACUAGGCAAAUGAUAUCGUAAAAUCAUAAAAUUUAUUUUUUAGGUACUUCAAAUACUCUAGAUCAAGUUUAACGGAGCUGAUCAACGAUUCGAAAGCCGCAACAUCGAAAACGAGUUGGAAGCACGGAAGGCUCCGUGCUUCCGAUAGCAUAGUAGCCUCACUCAUAUAUAUAUAUAUAUAUAUAUAUAUAUAUAUAUAUAUAUGACAAAUCUAACUUUUAUUUUGCAUAAUUAUAAAUCCUAUUCUAAAACUUUCAAAUAUAAUCCAUGUAUAAUUUGAGUAAACUCUAUCUCGAACUAAAUUUUAAAUUAAGUUUGGAUAACUAUUUCCUACAAAAAUAGUACCAAAAAAAGAUACAAAUGUCUAAAACUUUCAAAUAUAAUCCAUGUAUAAUUUGAGUAAACUCUAUCUCUAACUAAAUUUUAAAUUAAGUUUGGAUAACUAUUUCCUACAAAAAUAGUACCAAAAAAAGAUACAAAUGUUUAGAGACCGCCUCAACUAUAGACUUUUGAUAUGACCUCCUCAGCUAAUUGUUUGAUAAAGGCCUCCUCAACUUCAAAUUUUUUUAAUUUGAUUUUCAUGCUCAAUUAAGUUAAAAUGUUAUUAAAUUUAAUAACUCUAUUACUUAUUAAAAUUUUCAAACUUUUUUUAAAUAUUUUUUUAAAAUUUUUUGACUAAAAUUACUUGAUUCCAUAAAUUAGAAGUUGAAGGCAUCUCAAUUUUUUUAAAAAAAUGUUGAGAUGUCAAUUUCAAAAAUCUGGAAGAGAUCAUCAUGCAUGUCGCAAAGAAGCCACUAAUUUUUGUUGUUUGCAUGCUAAACUUAUGUAUUCUUGGCUCCUCUACAGCCCAAUAUCAAAAAAACGACAUCUUAAUUGCCAUCUAGGAUUAACCACCUCUUUGACUUUAUUAUAUGCACAUUUUUUUUCUCUCUUUUUUUUUUUUUUAUUCAACUUGAUUUGCAUAUGUAUAACAACCUUUUGUAGACUUGUCAUUGGAGCCGCUGAUCGGCGCGAUUUGUGCCGGAAAUGGUGUAGUUUUGAAGCCCUCCGAACUCGCCCCGGCGACGUCGCAGUUUCUUGCAUGUAACAUACCAAAGUAUUUGGACAGCAAAGCUGUUAAGGUUGUCCAGGGAGGUGCAGAAGUAGGACAGCAACUCUUGGAGCUGAAAUGGGACAAGAUCUUCUUCACUGGUUGGUUCAACAUACAUAGAUUCUCUUUAUUCCUAAGGUUUACACAAACAUUUAAUACAUAUAUAUAUAUAUAUUUGUUGUCGCGGCUGUUGAAUAUAUAAAUAUUAAAAACAUCUUUCUCUAUAAGCCUAAGCUAUUGCAGAUAAACGGUUGUUUCAUAUAAUUUAACAUAGUAUUAAAGUCGGAGGUACUGAGUUCGAAUCCUUUCUAAUAGCUUAAUCUAUUGGAGAAUAACGAUUGUUUCACACUCAUUAAUAGUAGGAUGCUCUGUUCAAACACUAUGCAUCAAUCGUAUUGCGCUCAAACAUAUAUAGAGCACUGUUUAUGUCGAAAACCUCCGGCCUGGUUUUGCUGAUCAAAUAUGUUCAGGAGGUCGCCGGGUCGGACAAAUUGUGAUGACUGCAGCUGCGAAGCAUUUAACACCAGUUGCUAUCGAAGUCGGGGGGAAAUGCCCGGCCAUUAUUGAUUCGUUUACGACCGCGAAAGAUAGAAAGGUAUGUUUGCAUUCGAUAUUUAGCAGUUCUUGCAAUGAAUUUACGACAAGUAAUAGCAGCCCAACCAUCUUAAACUGAAGCUCUAAUGUUAGCUAAUUCUAUGUAAACUACUCUGUCAAGUCCAUAAAAAUCACUAUUACUUCAUAUGAGUGUGCCUAUAUGAGAAUAAUCGCCGUGGUUCAAAACAUAUUUCGUAUCCUCGCCAAUUAAUCCACGAUGAUAAAUUGGUUCAAAACGGGCCAAUUUCAUCGCAAGCGCACACUCGUACACCGAUAGCGAAACUUUUGGCUGUUAAAAGGUCUUAGUGUUUGCAAAAUGAAUCUCAAGGAAAGCUCGAUCGAUGUUUGGCAAUGGGAUAAAUUGUGUAAAAACACGAACAAUCGGUAGUUAAGAUGCUUGAGUUUGGAUGUUUAAUACUUGAUCAGGUGACUGUCGAACGAGUUGUUGGCGGAAAAUGGGGGCCUUGUGCUGGACAAGCCUGCAUAGCAAUUGAUUAUUUGCUCGUGGAAGAAGAGUUCGCACCUGUUCUGGUAAUGGAUCUGUUUGCAAAGCAAUAACUGAACUUUAAAAGCUUGCAUUUCGGUACUUACGACUUCCCCUCGCUUCCUGUAGGUUGAGUUGCUGAAGGCGACAAUUGCGAAAUUCUUCACUGCACGCGAAUACGUCUCGCGGAUAGUUAACAAGCAUCAUUUUGAGAGGCUGAGCAGGCUUUUAGAGGAUAAAGAAGUUGCAGCUUCCAUCAAGCAUGGCGGCCUCCGCGAUCCUGAGAACCUGUAGCUUCUUGAACGCCUUACAUUAUAAUCUUAUUCAGCCCUCUGUAUCUUAGUAGUAUCAUUCGACGAUCCACGCUGAGAACCAAAAUCAUCUGACUAACAGUUAUCAUAUUGCGUAGGUUCAUUGAGCCAACCAUAUUGUUAAAUCCCCCGUUGGACACCGAGAUUAUGACUGAAGAGAUAUUCGGCCCACUGCUUCCAAUCAUCACAGUGAGAAAAUCGGACACUUCUAGUUUGUGCGACGCCUUGUGCUUUCUAGUUGACAAAGAUUAAAAUUGUGACAUUUGGUGUGUGCUCUUUUUACAGCUGAAGAAGAUCGAGGACAGCAUCGAGUUUGUACGAGCAAGGCCGAAGCCGCUUGUUAUAUACGCGUUCACGCACAAUGAGACGCUGAAAAAGCGGAUCGUAGAAGAAACAUCUUCAGGAAGUGUCACUUUUAAUGAUGCCAUCAUACAAGUAAUCUUAAUUAUCAUCCCUUCAGAGCUUAUAGCAACACUGUUUUUGAUAUAACUAAUCUUAGAUAGUCAACUUAUCUGCCUUUCAAAAAAACAGAAAUUCAGAUGAUACCUGAUUAUUACCGGAAGUUGCAACGAAGCAUUGCUUUUGAAUAAUGCUUAAGGUUAUUUUUGCAGUUUCUACUGGACGCAUUACCAUUUGGAGGAAUCGGACAAAGCGGUUUCGGGCAAUACCACGGCAAGUACUCGUUCGACUUGUUCAGCCACCGGAAAUCGGUUGUGAGGAGGAGCUUCCUCACUGAGUUCAGUUUCAGAUAUCCGCCAUGGGACGAGAGAAAGCUGCAACUGUUAAGAUAUGCUUACAGUUUCGAUUAUGUCAGAUUUGUGCUAUACUUUUUAGGAUUAAAGAGAUAAUUGCUCAGUUUACUCUUCGUGCCGUCGUCGUGUUUUGGCCUUGCUAGCCGGUUGAAUCGUACGGUCGUUUUCAGUUAUGGGUACUAUUUCUAUGGCAACUCCACUUCAUGGAGAUGCACUGGAAGAGUUUUCUCUUCUCUUUUUUCUUUUUCUUUUUUUUUUUUUAUGCUUGAGAAGGUCGUUUAGUGCCAAUACAGAGAGUAUAUUGUUUGGUUACAUGAGCUUAUUUAGUUUAUCAGCCUUUAUCUAAUAUAAUAUAUAUAGAGAUAUUAUACGAUCCAGUUAUGUAUCAGAAUAAUCCAUGAAUUUUCUCGCUGGGUUAGCCUCACAAUACGAAAGCUUAGUUGAUCAAACGUUAAGUGUCACGACAAGUGUAACAAUAUUCUACAUUAUUAUUAAACACAUUACUAUUAAAAAGUGUAUAUUAUGUACAUUAAACCCAUGUCUAAACAACAGGAACAUAGAAAAUAAUGCUGCUUAAUGAUAAGAAGCCACAAGUGAAAAAUGGCCUACAUCAUGGAAACGUGGUUAGCUUUCUCACCAUUUGGCUUCCAUAUUCAGCUGACCUUUUUCUUUAACAUUGACUAUUUUCUUUUUAAGAUUGAUAUUUGUUGGCCUUAAGUUGCUAUCUACACGUACAGAGGUAUUCUGCAAUAAAUGCUUUUUUACGCAUGAGAAGUUCAUCUCGUCCUUGGAUCAGCUGCAGGAGAGAUUCCACAGUAAGUCGAUAUGCUACAUUUGUAAGUUGUCUACAAUCAUACAAUCUGCAAAUAAGGAGACACAUGUCAGAUCAUAGACAAGCAAUCGAUGGGAAAUAUGAUUAUCUAGGACGCUUACUACAACAAACAUCACAAAUAGAAAAGACCAAACAGCACAAGUUCUCAUGAAAUAUAGGAUAUGACGUAGAAAUGAGCACUGCCGUAGAGUAAGCGUUAAUACCUCAAUUGACAAACUUCUACUACACAGGAAUAAGCACGAGAAGUACUCGAAAGUUCUUAGAUUAUAUAUUCGACAGAGUUAAGUUUUUCAUUUUUAAGGAAAUGGCAGAAUGCGGACGUCUUAGAGAACUUACUCGUUGCACAAGAGGAAUCAGCUCAACCAAUGGACGGCAGCAUGAUUGGUGCACCAUCUUGGGAUCAGCUGAGAGCCAAAAUUUUGCAGCUUUAGGGGAGUUCUCAAUGUAUCUUACACCUACACUGUAAAUUGUCCACCUAGAAUAUUACCACAGUAAACAAUGUGGCCAAUAUGUUGGUAGUCAGUAGUACAAUGAUCUUCACAUUCUUACUUGAUAUUCCAGAAGAACAUGGAACAAUUUCCACCUUAGAGCUAGCUAAUUCUUGGGCUAAUCAGCAUAAGUUCAUUCCUUUCCGGCUGAAGUGAUUGUUUUUUCUUUCAUGGCCUCCUUUUCCAUUUUUUUCUUUUCAGUUUCAGCAAAUUUUGCAUUCUCCUCACGCGAUUUGUUGAACGUAUUAACAAAGAUUACCAGAAUCGAUGUCACUGGAAAGAUGAGAACAAGGACUUGUUACAUGCAUAUCCAACGGAAGAUAUAGUCAUGGCCUGUGAAAAUAAUGUAAAUACAUCAUACCUUGUUCGAAAGGACAACGAGCAGGGUCUUCUCCGAAAUACUGAGCUAGAGAAUCAGCAUUUCUUCCCUAACAUAAUUCAUGCUCCAAUCAAAUAUAGAAAACUAAAGAAGGCAACCAGAACUUUGUUGCGUGUGUACUCACCACUUCUGAAUAUAAGGAUAUAAGGGACCUAACAUCAGCCUCCGCAGUAUCAAGAAAACUCUUCAAAGCCUGAAGUGGAAUAGUAUAAUAUUUUUCCCAGCAUUAGCAAUUAAAAAAAAAAAUAUUAGCAACUUUCAAGAAGAGGAAAAGGGGACAGUAUAGCAUCCUUAUAAGUGAACUUAUAAGGUCAAAAAAGUAUUUUAAGUGACUUGGAGACACAAGGAAUCACGAGGAAGGAGAAGUGUGUGUGAAAUGGCAAUGGUAGGCAAGAUUGCAACAAUAAUGAAAUGAAUUGAGUUUUCCCUGUCUUAGACUACUAUUCACCUUACGAAAACCCACAGAGAUAUCACCAUCGUUGUCUGAUGCAGUCAGUUCUUGCUCGACCUUUUCAAGACCUUUGUUCACUGCUUGCAUCUCUUCAGCAACCAAUUUUAAUUGGAUCUGUGCAAUUUUUUGAAAAUUUUUACAUCAGAAAUCUCAAAAAAAUCCAAUUAAGCAAUACUUCAAAAAGCAAGCUCAAUAUCAGUAAAUCCAUCAGUUCACAGUAUAGGGAAUGGAAAAUGUACCUUGGAGGCUGCUUCCAAAUGAAUCAAGUCCUUAUCAAAAUCAAGCAACUCAGGCAUUUUCUCAGCAAGGAGCUAAAGAAUAUGGAGAAAAAGAAAAACAUUGUUAGCAUCUUAUCCAUGUCAUGAAAUCAAUAUCACUUAACAUGAAUAUCACUCAACAAAAAGUAUAUCAUACCUUGCAUAAAUAAUGCAUUAAGGUCAUUUUGUUAUUUCUUGCACGAGUAUCUGCUAAUUUAAGAAGGCUGUCCAAUCUGAAUCCCACAGCAGAGCCUGCAAAACAGAGAAAAGCAAACAUAUUUUUAACUGCUUGCAUGAGAAUCCCAUAAUUUCACUUCUAUCGCAUAUUGAUACCUCGUGCAGUGCCUUGAUUCAGCACAUUUCCUAAUGUAAGUAUCGUCUGCAUGAUUUGGCGUAACUUCAAAGACUCCUUAACCUAAAUAAAAUUUGGAAUAUUACAUUCAUCCAAGAAUUUUGAGUACAUUGUCAAAUCUUUUUCCACAGAGGAUACCUCUCUAGAUGCAUCAUUAAUUAUAUUUAGGUUGGUUCGCAACUCUUGCACCUGUUUAAUAGGGAGAAUGUCUUCAUGUUAACUAAAUUUAAGGCAUAAUAAAUAUCAGCCAAUAAUUCCAUCAGCUUGUUGAGGAGAAAAAGAAUAAUACCUGCGUUGAAAAGGUGAUUCUAAAAGAGAAAACUCUUAACUUGGAUUCCACUCGAGGAACCCUCAUCAGCUCCAGGAAGAACUGGUGAAAUAACAUACAAGCUGCAGAUAUCACUUAAAAUUGAAUAAAACAUGCAUUUUGGCAUUGAAAAUAAACCUGUUCACAUCUCCCAAGCAUUUCUUUGUUGCCGUUGUAGUUCUGAAAACACCCAGAAACAAAAAAGAGCAGUCAGACAACCAAGAAAGACAUCAACAGAAGAAAACAUUAGAGAGAGAAAUUAAAUUGGAUGUUUGGCAACUGGAAGAAAGAGAUAUGAUGUGCCUUUGGAAAUGAUCGUAUGCAGUUUUAUCUCCAAAGAAAAGAAGUACUGGUUGACUAUGGCAAAGAUAUAAUACGUAAAACUUUUAGAUGCAAGUUUAUUUAUAAUAGUACUGAUAGUCCAUAAGCAGAAAGAAAAACAGUUUGAUUUACUUCGCAAAAUUAUGUAGGAAGAAGAACAAUUUGAUUUACUUUGCAAAAUUAUGCAAACAGCAUCUCCACCUACUCUAAGAAAUUAAGAUUAUGGCGAAAAGAAUUCCGAAAGAAGAGAAUAGAAACAGACGCUUUGAUGUUUGCCUUCUGAAACCAAAUAAAUAUCAUUAGCACAACAGUAUUUGUAGAGUUAAUGCAUUCCUAUCUUAUGCUUCGUAAGGCAUAUGAAAACGUAGAUGCUAUCAGUACAGAGGCAUUUUCGCAUUUUUUAUCAUCUUUGCAAGCAGAAACUGGUUUGGUAAUCACUUUUUAGGAUAAAAUUGUUGGCACAUGUUAUCUCUUACACAUUAUAGGAGACUCAGAUAUUCCUUGGACAGUUGACAACCCAAACUAUAAGAUAUGAAGACUAGUAGUCCAGAUCUGGCAGUUUUUUAACUUGGGCUCUAAGAUGGAUCUCAAAGCCUAAGCUUCCCAUUUUCCAAUAAAUUAUGCUACUCUCUGGCAACUUUCGGAGAUUUAUAAUCCAUACAAAGCACAGUGACAGAGAUACAUUUUCUAGACAUAUGGACGAAAGGAAGUCAAACAUAACGGUGGUACUUUACCUUUAGCAUCUCCAUUUCUUCUUUUGUAGGACAAAACUUGAUGAGAUUUUCCACUUGGUCAAUGUCCAAAACCGAGGUAUCCAGAGCUAAGAUUGCGCUCUAACAAUAAGAGAAAAAGGAAUUAUCAGAAGAAAUUGAAUUAGUCAGCAUCAAAACCAAGAAAGUUCCGAUGCAAGAAAACUUACAAUCAUAUCUGGAAGAGGCAUCUUUAUCUUAGUAAGCAUGAUUUCACAGUUAUUUGCUCUGCGCAUGUCAACCUGAAACAGGAAAAUUCCAUUGACGCCCGUGUUAUUGAAUAGCAUGACAAAUAAGGUCAACAAGCAGUUCUCACAAUAUAACAUCAUUCUCAACCGAAAAUAGAAGACUACAGCAGAAUUUUCUAAACAAUCAUAAUUAAAAUUUAAAGCACAUCAAUCUACCAUUCAUACAGAAUGAAAUCUGUGAUUGACCAAAUAUACUGGACAGGAAAAUGAACUGAAGUCCAAAGGUAUAAGGGUCAUAAAAAUACCAAGUGGACUAUCUCAGGCUUACUGACGCUAGAACCACGCUUUGAUCCAGCUUUAUCUGUCCCAUUGCCGUCACUUGAAACUGCAGUUGAAAAUAGACUUUCCAAUUCAGAAAAGUCAAUCUCGGGAGCCCUGUCAAUAAUGUUAACAACAAAUAUAAGUACAAUUAUAUUUUGCAUGUGACAAGCACAGGAAAAAGACAGUCGUUGCAUAUAAAGCAAGCAGUGCAAGAAUUAAAUUACUAGUCCGGCAAUAACAGAAUUAUGUUUUGGAGAAUUGUCUUACCUGUGUCAUACCAGUUCAGUUCAUCACUUCAUCCAGUUGGGCUUUACUAGUAUCACUAUAAGCCUAAACAUAAGACUCAACUGUUUUUACUAAUUACCGAUUUGUAGAAAGAGGGAGGACUUAAACUGAUUAUUUGCAGUUGUAGAUCCAAGGACCAAGAUACAAACUAAGGCAUAUUUCUUCAAAAAAAUAACCUCAAUAGCUUUAUUAUCAACAUAAUGAAUUUUGAAAAGUUUAACUACUGCAAUUACCUUGUCUGGUUCUCUUGCUUCUGGGAAUCAGCCCAUAGACUCCCUUGCAUUGCUCGAGUAACCUUGACCCAAUGCAAAGGCUUUAGAGAAGCUUUUUUCAGAGCAUUAUUAGACUGUCCAGAUCCCCGGCCUCUUCCUAAGCUGGGUGGAUUAGCUCUUCCAUGUCCCAAACUUGCAGGAGGUGGUGCUGGCACAUUCGAAACUUUGGAUCCUGGAGGUUGUGGUGGUUGUGGUGGCCCCAGUUUCGGUGCUGGAGGGGGCGGCGGAGGAGUAGGGCCUCGUAUGCUACGCACUGAUGGAGGAGGAGGCUGUGGUGGGGCUGGAUUGGUUCCUUGCUUAGAGGGAAGUGGGGGUGGUGGAGGUGGAAACCCACGAUUAGAACUCGAAACAGGUGGAGGCAGAGGUGGAGGUGGAGUACUAGAAGGGGCAGAACUUCUACUAGAUGUACUAGGGAGAGGUGGAGGUGGAGGUGGAGGUGGAGGAGGCGGAGGACACCUAUUAGAUGCACUAGGAAGAGGAGGGGGAGGAGGAAUGGUAGAACNUGGUGGAAUUGGAGGAGUACUGGAAGGAGGCACAGAAUUUCUACUAGAUGUACUAGGGAGAGGUGGAGGUGGAGGUGGAGGUGGAGGAGGCGGAGAACCCUUAUUAGACAUAGACGAGGGAGGUGGGGGAGGCGGAGCCCUAUUUGAUGUACCGGGUAGAGAAUCCUUAUUAGAAACAAAAGGAGGCGGGGGAGGAGGGGGAGGUGGAGGAGGUGGAGGUGGAGCCUUGCUUAAUAUACUAGGUAAAGGGGGUGACAGUGAGCCUAGCUUGGCAUUAUUAGUUUCGGAAGGAACAUUAGAAGAUAGAGGAGGCAAAGCGCAAUUCGGACCUUUGUCUGAUUUUGUAUAAACAGGCAAAGGUGAAGGUGAAACCAGGCCUUCACUGCCUGCAGUUAAAAAUGAGGGAUGUGGUGGCGGCGGCAGUGGUGGAGAUACACUAGACACAGCUGAAGUUGGUGAAGGUGAUUUGGUUUUCUUAAUUUCUGAAGAGAAACUAGGAGGUGGGGGAGGAGGGGGGGGAGGAGGAGGAUGAGGAGGAAGGGAAGAAGAAUUUUUGUUGGAUAAAGCAUGCUUGGCUGAAGAUGGAGGGGGAGGGGGAGGGGGAGGGGGCGGUGGAGCGCGGGACAAAGCAGUCGAUGUUUUUACUGAUUCAGAUGUAAUACUAACUGAAGUAUGAAGAGAGGGCAAAGAAGGAGCAGGUGGCGGCGGCGGCGGCGGCAGCAAGGGUGGAGAUACAGAUGCGUCAUGUACUGUGAUAGCGGAGCAAUCUGGCUGUGCAAAACCUGUGACACAAAUAACAUUAUAAGGUAUGAACUUCUAUAAUGUUACAAAAGAGUGCCAAUUAUCCUUACCGAUAGAAUCAGAAUCUUCGAUUGCACUAUCAUCAUGCAUUUCCUCUGAUUCAGUAGUAAUAUUCGGGCUAUGAUGAGCAGUUUCAUUGUCCACAGAAGAAACAGAAUUUGAAGUUGCAGAAUCUUUUUCUUCAUCAGAAUCUGUGGGUGAAAUUAGUGACAUCUGCAUACCUACUUUACUUUGCAGCUUUGUCAACUCCUUCACGUCACUAAGAAUUAGCUUCUGAAUUCGUUCUUGCAAAGCAUUCGCCGAAAUUUCUUUCAGCAACCAAAAUGCAGCAUCAUCACCACUGUCAAUCAAUUCGACACCGCUGAAAAGUUCUUGCACUCUAGAAAAAGCUUCAAUUGGCAAUCCCCCUUUCAUCUCGCCAUUCAACAUAACUGUUGGAGCUCUUGGAGGAGAGAUGCUCUCAAUUUCACCAAAAAGCACCUAAAUGCCAAAAUUUUCAAAAGCGGCAGAUCGCAUAAAAUACAUAUUCAAAUUCAUGAUCAGGUAGAAGCAAUUCACGACAUUACUUUGUUUACCUCCGAUCUAAAACCUUUUGGAUAGCGGUCUUUUGAUUCCCAUAGUAUGUCCACAUCCUCACAAUUCAGCAUCAAUAUGUUCGAUCGAAUAAAAGCAGUGUUGAACAUGAUGCGAAACAUCAUUACUUCCCUUUCUGGAUCCAAGUCAAGAUGCACACAUUCCAAGACGACGUCACCUUGUACUAAGCAUUGUAUGUCAAUUUUUAUGACAUCACAAUCAUCCUGUGAAAGAAAAAAACAAAAAAAAAAGAAGAAAUAUAAAAUCGUCCAGCGAUUCAGAAAUACAAACAAGAAGCUACUAAGAUGCAUCAUACACUAAACAGCAGCAUCGUACCUGCCGGUAGUGCCGCAAAGUCUUCUUUUUGGGCAUUGAGAAGAGCAUGCCAGUUGAAAGGCCAUCCUUGUUAAGAAGAUUACGGCCAAAAAUUCGUAUAAGUGGUCGGCAUCCAUUAUCAGAAUCAAAGCUUGGAAUGGCUCGAAGAAUGAGGCAAUCCAAAGAAAGAGCCCGCUCCAUAGGAGGCCAUUCUGAAGAAAUGUUUCUCCUAGCUACAUACUGCAAGUAACGUAGUUGAGAUGGGAAUGGAUUCAGUGGUGAUAGAAGUUGUAAAAAACCUUUAGGGGCCUCUCGGUGGACAAUCUCUAGUGUUUUCUGUUCUCCAUAAUGCAUUUUCCUGAAAAUUAAAAAGCAAGCUAGAAGAAAUGCUAGAAGCGGCCAGCCACCUCUCUCACAAUGGAGUAAUACAAUGUUUUGACUUCCGAGAGACAGCCAGCUGUCACAGACACGAAGGAAGUGCUGAACGAGAGAUAAAGGAAGAAGAGGGCAGCCUUCAUAAUGGCGUGGAUAAUCAAUAAUAGUAAUAUCAUAUUCGCAAAGAAUCUUCGCGAAUUGGCUUCUCUUUUUUCCGUCUCUAAAAUUUAAAGCAAGGAAAGAAGACUCGGGAAAUUCUUCAUGCAGCUCGGUGACUAUCUCAUGCAAGUAGAUUUGAUACAUUUCAUCCGACAAAACUUCCGUGGAAAAGCAUGAGUCAAAAACUGCACAAAGGAAACAAAAAAGAACAAGAAAUGUUGGUAAAAUUUAUGAAGACAAGAAAACAAAUUACAAGAAUGCUCGUAGUUCAUCAUUUUUAUGUUUACCAUAAACCUUGUCAGCAAACUCCAGCAACCCAUCAGGCGGUCUCCUAUAAAAGAAUCUGCUAAAGAGAGACAUCUCAUUGGACAGCAGAUUUGACAGACAGAAGCAGAUCGACUUCAGAUUAUCUGCCGAAAUAGAUAAGGGUGUAAACUUCAAGUGAGAUUAAUUGAUAAUGAAGAGCUCACUAAAUGGAUAAUAUGCGGCAUUAAACACCAUUUAUAUUUCCAUUUUGGUUCACCUUCAACUCGCGAUGCUUACUCGUGACCUCCAAGCUUACAAUUUUUUCUUUUUGAAAGCAGCUUAUAACAAUGACCUCCAAACUUGCAAAAUUGAGAAAUUUUCACCCUGAAACCUUUCCAUAUACCAAGGCCUAAAACACUGAUCAACAAAUUCAUUGUAGGUCCUAAAUGUCCUGGUUUUGCAUACAUAACAAUUUCAAACUAAAAUAGUGUCACAUUACAUGCACAGUUUCAAUCAACGCUUGAAACUUAUCAACUAAACAUCUGCAUCCGCAUCUCUUCUGCUAUAAACUAUGAGCACACGCUACAGCUACUUCAAAACUAACUGAUCACACAGACGCAAUUUGUAUUACCUACAAGGCUACAACGCAAAACCCACUAAAAAAGCCUAAGAAACAUUGAUAACCCUAAUUACUAGCACUCAUCCGAACUAGUACUCAAAUCGCGAAUAAAACGGAAACAAAUCCUUUCAAAGUCACCCAAAAGAACACAAUGAAUCAUCAAACGAAGCUCGCAUGCUCUACAAUGGAGAAAGUGAGGGGAAACGAUUACCUCCAACAAAAGGAGGUCCGAUCGAAGGUUGCAAGGGUUUUGGAGGCGGAGAUGCGCUCGCGGCGAGUUCGAUCCGAAGCAGCGAAGGGCGAAGCUUCAGAGUUCGCAAAUGGCGAUUUGGGAGCUAAAAACCUGCGACCUUGUUCGAAGAUCGCGGAGAGAGAGAGGAGAAGGGGUUCGUUCGGAUUCGAGAAGAGUAGAGGAGCGGGGCGGUGGAUUUGGAAUUUAGACGCGGAGGAUGGUGCGGUUUCAAAUUUCCGGUCCCACGAGCCACGAGCGACGAGGGGAUCGGUGGUAAUGGGUUCAACCGAGUCCAGUGGUGUCGAGCUUAACUCGGGCUCGACCCGUAGUAAUGGAAAUAUUAAUUAAUAUUAAUAUUAAUAUUAAUAUUAAUGUUCCUUAUGUGAGCCUAUUAAUGGGCCGGGCCUAUUGAUAGCUCCCGGCCUAGUAAUUUACAGGCCAACUCAGGCACAAAUUCGGUAGUCCUGUUGUACCAACACAACUGUAUAAAAAGUUUGACUUGUUUGUUGGAGAGGAUUUGGGAGGUCGAACUUAGGGAUGUGGGUAUAGAUACCCGAAAUUUUGUCCGAAUCCGAACCCGAAUGAAAUGGAUAUAUCUGAUUCUGAAUGGAUAUGGAUUCGGAUAUGGAUAUCAAAAAUAGAAACCCGACGGAUAUGGAUUCGGAUAUGAAUUUUGAUUGUACCCGAUCCGAACCCGAGCCCGACCCAAACCUGAAUUUAUUUUGUAUUAUAAUAUAUAUUUGAUGUUAUAUUUGAAUUUGUAUUUUAAAAUUUUAAAUUUAAUAUAAUAUAUUUUGAAAUAUUGAAAAAAAAUAAUUGUUUCGGGUUUAAAUUUUCGGGUUUGGGUUCGGGUUUCAAAUUUUUGGUCGGGUUCGGGUUUAGAUAUGGAUUUUUAAAAUCCGUCGGGUUCGGGUUCGGGUUCGGAUUCGGGGCUCGGGUUUGGAGUCGGGUUUGGGUUCGGGUUUCAAAUUUUUGGUCGGGUUCGGGUUUAGAUAUGGAUUUUUAAAAUCCGUCGGGUUCGGGUUCGGGUUCGGAUUCGGGGCUCGGGUUUGGAGUCGGGUUUGGGUUCGGGUUUUUAAAAAUCCGCUCCGAAUCCGACCCGUUGACAUCUCUAGUCGAACUCACAAAAAAAAAGUCAAUUUUUGUUGCGGAACCAAAGUUACCGCAAGAAAUAUAUAGUAACUAGAUUUCAAAUUUUGAAUCUUAUGUACCAAACAUCAAGCUUUUACCCAACUAUCCUAUAUAUGUAUGGUCGAUUGUAAGUAUGAAAAUCACACUGCCCGUCACCCUGAGCUGAGCCAAAUUUUUCUCGGCAUCUUAUAUUUUGCCUGCAAAAUUGCUCUCACGAAAAGCUGAAAAGGGCAAACAAAAAAAUUAAAAAAAAAAACAACUAUUUAAAUUUGUUUUUAUUGCAGGUGUAGUUCAUGCCAGACCUACCAUAUAAGGCCGCGUAGUGAUAUUUUCUUCAUUUGAGUUAUUUGGGUUGUGGGCUCCACCAUUCCAUCCCCCUCACCAUACACUCCCUUCACCUAUUAUGAAACAUACACCCCUUUACUUUCCUUUUACAUAUUCUCUUUUUUUUUUUUUCAAAACGUACGCCUUUUCACAUCCCUUCAUAUUUUUUCAAAAUGUACACCCUCUCAUCUCUCCACUCUUCAUAUUUUUUUCAAAUUUUGUAUACUUUUUCAAAACGUACACCCUAAAUUUGAAAGUGUAGAUUUCUAUUUAGUAUUAUACUUUUUCAAAAUCUUCAAGCAUUAUAAUGUAGAUUUCUACCUUAAACUUCAUUUCUUCUUCUUCUUCAUUCUCUCUCUCUCUCUCCCCAUUAACGGCGGAGGUAAUCGUGUAAUUUUUUGCGGACGUGGUAUAGAUUGCUAGAGCAUUCACUGCUAUGCUAAAAAGCUUCGCUAUGACCCCUACGUUGUCCCUCGCCAUGGCCUCCUCUUUGUGCGCUGUGAUUGUAGCGCGCUUCCCUACCUCCUCUCAAAUCUCCUCUUUUUUCGCCUUUGACGCCCAAUUCGACUCCUGCAUCAUCGACAUUCUAAAAUCCUCUCUUUAUCUUCCUAUGAUUUUUUUUUUCUUUUUAAUCAAAUCUUUCUAAUAUUAGAUUCGCUUCUUUGGAUUUAGAAAGAGGUCUAGAAGACUAUCAUUUGUUUGGAUAUUGGGACAUCGGAAUUAUUUAUCAUGCACGCCAGCGGUUCGAUGCAUGAUUUUUUUUAGAAUUAAAAUAAAAUAUGGCCAAUUUGCAUAAAAAAUCCACUUAUUUUGGGCUUUUGCAAAACCGGGCCACCUUUUUCGUUUUUGCAAAUUCGGUCCGCUUUUUCAGCAAACUGACCAAAAUACCCUUAUUACUUUUUCUUUUUCCUCUUUCUCUCUUCUCUUCGUUCUCUCGUUCUUUUUUUUUUUCGCCGAAAAAAAAGCGACGGCCGGAGCACCGCCAAGCGGGCUCUUCUUCUUCUUCUUCUUCUUCCUGGAGGAGCAAUUUUUUUUUCUCUUUUUCUUUUUCUUCUUCUUCUUCCUCCUGCUGGAGCUUUUUUUUUUUCUCCUCUUCUUCUUCUUCUUCUUCUUUUUCUUCCUGUAAGAGCACGGAGCGCGCACGGCGACUUCCGGCCUCGCCACGGAGCCCGACCGCUCGACCCCGACGCCCCGCUCAAGCCGGGGAAGCUCUACUUCCUCGCGACUCCCCCGCGCCGACCUCGGAGCGCCGACCACGUAACGCCGCGAGGGCGCAACCGGCCGGCCGGGCCGCGCCGCGCGUUCCUACAUUGCCUGAGGAGCCGCGUACGAGACUACGAGCCCACGCAUCGACCCACGACGCCCUGCUCAGCCGGGGAAGCCUACUUCGCCGCGUGGCGGAAUUUCAACCAUGUAACCAUUACGAGAACACCGAGCACGGGACAACGAGCGUCCGCACUGAAGAUCGCCGGGUUGACGUGCGUCCUCCCCUCCGCCGGCGACGGCAGACGAGAGGGAGCUUGCGGGCACGCGGCCGACCUCGAGCUCGGCCGACCUGACCUCACCGCCGCAUCCGCUCGACUCCUGACGCCCGGCCAGGCCGCCUGCAUCACCGCCCGUCGUGCCGGGCGCCCCCCGACUCCGGCAGCAGAGCUCGGCUCGAUGGCGCCGUCGCCGCGGCAGAGCUUCCCGCCCUUGGGUAGCUGUGCGCCCACCCCGCGCGAAGACAGCACAACGAGGCCCCGCGCACGGCCGCAGGCGUGGGCAGGCGUGGGCGCGGCGUCGUGGUCAACCGUAUACUAAAAGCACAAAAUUGAAAAAGCAACUGUAACAAAAGCUCAAUCCAGCACUUCUCGCCUCAUUAAUAUAAUUGUUAACAUUUGCAGCUAUAGUUUGAUGAAUGCAAAGCAUGCAUAAUUAACUUCUUGUUUUAUUAUCCAAUAACUCCAAAAUUGCUGGAGUUAGACUCAAAAAAAAAAAAAAACUUGACGGAAUUAUUACUCUGAUCAUAUCCUCACUAAACUAGUGCUUCGAGAAUAGCCUUAACAGCCCCAACAACCAUGUGUAUCGAAUUAAUUGUUCACGCCGACGCCGCGCCCACGCCGCCACGCCGCGGCCGCCUCUGCGCGACGUUGUCGUAUUGCUUGCGCCGCGGCAGUCAGGGCGGCGGCGAAGCUCUGCCGCGCGCGGCGGCGCCUCAGAGCCGAGCUGCUGCCGCGGAGCUCGGGGCGCCGCGGCAGCGCACGGGCCGUGCAGCAGGGCGGCCUGGGGCGCGGGGGCUCGAGCGGAGAGCGCGGGGGAGGUCGAGGUCGCCGAGCUCGAGUCGGCCGGUGCACGCCAACGGCCUCCCUCUCCGUCGUCGCCCCGCGAGGAGGCACAUAGUAGACCCCGGCGGUCUCCCGCGCCGGUGCUCGCUGUCCGCCGGCUUGGCCGGUCUUCGUAAUGGUUAAUGUGCAGCCAUAUACAGCCAUUAAUGGUGUAAUGGUCAAAUCGCGCGCCGUGGUCAGGCUCGGGGUCGGCGCGGGGCAGGAAGUAAGAGCUCCGCCCGUCUGAGCAGGGCGUCAUGGUUGAGCGGUCGGGCUCUCGUAGUUCCGACCGCGCCUCCUCGGGCAAUCUAGUAGGGAACGCCUGGCGCCGGCCUAGCGCCGUUGCCCCUGCGGCGGUGGUCGGGCUCGAGGUCGGCGCGGGGAAAGGUCGACCGACGAAAUAGAGCUCCCCGCUUGAGCGGGGCGUCGGGGUCGAGGCGUCAGACGCUCCGUGCGAGGCCGAAAGUCGCCGUGCUGCUGCCAUGCUUCUACAGGAAGAAAAGAAGAAAAGAAGAGGGAAAUAAAAAAAUGCUCCAGCAAGAGGAAGAGAAGGAAGAAGAAGAAAAAGAGAAUAAAAAAAAUUGCUCUUGAGGAAGAGAUGAAAGAAGACCCGCCUAGCGCUGCUACCGGCCGUCGCUUUUGUUUCAGCGAACAAAAAAAAAGAACGAGAGACGAACGGAAGAGAGAAAGAGGAAAGAGAAAAAAGUAAAUAAGGGUAUUUGGUCAGCUUUGCUGAAAAAGCGGACCGAAUUUGCAAAAACGAAAAAAUUCAUGUGGCCCGGUUUUGCAAAAGCCAAAAUAAGUGGAUUUUUAUGCAAGAUUGGCCAAAUAAUAUUAUAAGUUCAAAUAUAUUUAUUAUAUUUUAAAUACUAAUUUUUAUAAUUUUGAUUUGAUUUUAGUGUAAAGAAGAAGCAUAUAACGAUGAUCAAAAAAGAAAUGAAUCCAAAACCUUCUUUCAGAUGAAAUAUAUUUCAAUAAAAUUUAAAAAAAUAUUUUUUUUCUAACUAAUUUUAUUUAUUUAUUUUAAUUGCUAUGUUUAAAAAUUUAAUUUUGAUGUAAAAAGAAAGAAACCGAAGUCCGUUAUAAAUCAAUCCGAAUAACAAAACCAACUCAACGAAAUCACCUUCAUAUUUCCUUUCUUUUCCUUUAUUCUCGUAUUAAAAUUAUUUUUUAAUUCUAUUUAUCAUAAUUGUUAUUUUCUAGUUCUUUUCUUUUCGUCUUUUCUUUGUCCUCUACUGAAUUAUAUGUCUCAUUCAUAAUUUUCUAUAUAUUUUUUAAUAUUAUUAACCAAUCCUAUUUUGAAUUUUAAUAUUAAAUUUAUAAUUUUAUUAUAAUGUCUAUUCCCCCGCAUCGCGAUAAGUCUAAAUUAAGUCUAGAAUGCAAUAAUACAAUAUUAAUGUAGUGUGCCCAAACUUAAUCAAAAUUUCUUUUGAGAUUCACCAAUUCCAUUAUAAAUAAAAGAAAACUAAUUUUAUUAGUUUUUUAAAAAAAAUAAUAAAUACGGUUGCCUGAUAGAUACAUAAUAUCAGUAAAUAAAUAUUAAAUAAUAAACUGGUAGAUUUUAUGACACGGUCCGGUGCAGACAUUUUGUUGGCGAAGAAGCUGGAAAAACACUUACCUUCAUCACGCAUCAAAACGCGCCAUUCAUGCCCCCCACAAUUAGAAAGAAUUAAAAAUAUAUUACAAUACCUGAUGAGACCAUUUAUUAAACCCGUACCUACUGAUUUGAAGACGAAGAUUUAUGCAUGAUUAAACGAGAUUUCUAUUGCCGAUUUUUGUGGACUGAAUGUCGAAAGUGAAUCAGAUAAACAGUGCGUUGAGAACUUGUACGGUGUGGAUGCUUAUACGGUAUAUAGAGCAGUAAUUAACUGAGAGCAAAUCAUUCGUACUUAAUUAGGCCCUUUUUGAUGCAUAGUUAAAAAUAUUUUAAAAACAAUUUUUUUUAUUUUAUAUGGUUUUAGAGUUUUAGAAUAGUCUGAAUGAAAUCAUGAAAAUUCUGUACUAUUUAAAAAAAUCCGAUAGCAUUAUUUCUUAACGUUGUUUGGAUUACAUAUCAUACAAUUCCAUAAUAAUAGUAUAACAAUUAAAUUUCUAACAAUUUUAAAAUUGUAAAAUUCAAAAAACUCAAAUAUCAAAAUUAAAAUAAAAUCUUUAAAAAUAAAAUCAAAUUCAAAAUAUAAAAUUAAAAUUAAAAUAAACAUUUAAAAAAUUAAAUUAGAUUUUAUGUUUAAUUGAAAUUGGAACUUUUGGAAUUUAAAAUCUUAAAUUUUGAAAUUGAAAAUUUAAAUUUUAAAAUUUAAAAGUAUAACAUUUAAAAUUUAAAAAAGUAUAAUUAAAAUUUUUAAUAUUUAAUUUAAAUAAAUAUUUAUAAAUUACAUAUUUAAUUAAAUUUUAAAUUUUAAAAUUUAAGUUUAAAUUAAAUUUGAAAAUUUUAAAUUAAUAUAAAAUUUUGAAAAUUUGAAAUUUGAAAGUUUGAAAUUUGAAAAUUUUUGAAAUUUAAAAUUUAAAAUUUGAAAUUUGAAAUUUGAAAUUCGAAAUUUGAAAUCUGAACUUUUUGAAAUUUGAAAUUUGAAAUUCGAAAUUCAAAAUUUGAAAUUUGAAAUUUGAAAUUUAAAAUUUAAACUUUUUGAAAUUUGAAAUUUAAAAUUUGAAAUUUAAAAUUUAAAAUCAAAAUAAAGAUUGAAUUUUUAAAAUUUUAAAUUUUGAAAUUUAAAAUUUUAUGUUGAAAUUUAAAAUUUAGAAAUUGAUACAUCUUUGGGAGCACAAAAUGGUGGAAUUUUUUUUCUUUAGUUAAAGUGGAUUGUAAGUUAACUUUAUUUUUUGGAGUAUAGUAUAACUAUACUUCAAAAAUUACGUCAUUUUUUUUUUUUCUUCCAAACGCUUCAUAGGAUUUUUUUUCUACCGGCGCAGUAUAAUUUAACUAUGCUACGUUUUUAGAGGUAUCCAAACGGGUUUGAUUUUGUUAUUAUACAAUGUUCUGAGAUUGACCCUUUUAACUUUCCGAGUAGUUUGAAUGUUGUAAUUUUAGUUGCCGAAAUUAGUAAAUUUACUUUAAAUCAAAAUAAUUGAAAGUUAAAAGAAUCUCAAUCGAAUUUGAAACAAAAAAAUUUUUUUACUCCAGCUAGUUUCGGACAACCAAUUAGCAUGCGCAUAACCAUCAAUGCGCGAACUAUAAAGUAGAAUCAGAAACAUAAAGUCAAAUUAAAAUAGAAAGCUUUUUAUCAUGGUUAGAGCAAGCACAUGUACUGCACGAACUCGUGUGUGCCAUCGCAUGAUCAUGGAGCCCCAUCACACCCCCAUGUGAGGAGCCAAACACCAAAAACCCCACGUUACGCCCCACCAACACGCAUAAUUGGACGCUGUCUACAUUGUACCUAGCUCUUAAAUAUCCUCCCCGUAUUCUCGAUCUAUCUAGAAAAUUUUCGUAUCCGAUCGGUUUGUUUUAUCGAAAAUUUUUUAAGAAAAUAAGAAAGUGAUAAUCCGUCGUCGCUCAGACCAUCGACUUGAGGUGCUAAGACAUAGAUAACGAGUAUUUUGCAUAGUUGUAUGCUCUUUCUAGAUCCAAGGAAACACCUACAUGUUCUUUUCUGAAGCGUCAAAGAUGAUAUACAUUCAUAGUUACAUAAUUUGAUGGUAAAACUAUGUUUUAGAGGGGAAAGGAAAAUCUCAAAACGCUCAUGUUCACAUCAAGACCUUAGUUGUCAUUGCAAGCAUGCAGUAAGAUAAGCUCGCACAAAUUAUACGUGGAAAGAAUGAUUUGGUAAUAAAACAUUAAAAACAAAAACAAAACAAAACAAAAAAAAAAAAGAAAGCAAAAGAAAAAGGUGUUAGAAGCUCCGGAAAGCAAUCCAAAAGGCUGGUAGUUUAUGAACUGCAUUCGUAGGUCUCCUACAAAAUCUCUUGCGUAAAAUGGAGGGUGGAAGCUCUUGAUCACCCUUUCAUAAUCAUUGAUAAUUGAGAUGGCAACUCAAAAUUUAAUAUGGGANGAGAGAACGAAGCGGAGAGAGAAAGAGGAAAGAGAAAAAGUAAUAAGGGUAUUUUGGUCAGUUUGCUGAAAAAGCGGACCGAAUUUGCAAAAACGAAAAAUGUGGCCCGGUUUUGCAAAAGCCCAAAAUAAGUGGAUUUUUUAUGCAAAUUGGCCAAAUAAUAUUUAUAAGUUCCAAAUUAUUAUUAAUAAUUUUUAAAUACUAAUUUUUAUAAUUUUGAUUUGAUUUAGUGUAAAGAAGAAGCAUAUAACGAUGAAUCAAAAAGAAAUGAAUCCAAAACCUUCUUUCAGAUGAAAUAUAUUUCAAUAAAUUUAAAAAUAUUUUUUUUCUACUAAUUUUAUUUUAUUUUAUUUUAAUUGCUAUGUUUUUAAAAAUUUAAUUUUGAUGUAGAAAAGAAGAAACCGAAGUCCGUUAUAAAUCAUCGAAUAACAAAACCAACUCCAACGAAAUCACCUUCAUAUUUCCUUUCUUUUUCUUUUAUUCUCGUAUUAAAUUAUUUUUUUAAUUUCUAUUUAUGCAAUAAUUUUUAUUUUUCUAGUUCUUUCUUUUCGUUUUUUCUUUGUCCUCUACUGAAUUAUAUUCUCAUUCUAAUUUUUCUUAAUAUAUUUUUUAUAUUAUUAACCAAUCAUAUUUUUAAUUUUUUAUAUUUAAUUUAUAAAUUUUUAUUAUAAUGUCUAUCCCCCGCAUCGCGAUAGGUCCUAAAUUAGUCUAGAAUGCAAUAAUUACAUAUUUAAUGUAGUGUCCCCAACUAAUCAAAAUUUCUUUUUGAGAUUCACCAAUUCCAUUAUAAAUAAAAGAAAACUAAUUUUAUUAUUUUUUUAAAAAAAAUAAUAAAUACGGUUGGCUGAAGAUAGAUAAUACAGUAUAAAUAUUAAAUAAUAAACUGUAGAUUUUAUUGGACACCGGUCCCGGUUGCAGGACAUUUUGUUGGCGAAGAAGCUGGAAAACACUUCCUUAUCACCUCAAAACGCGCCAUUGCCCCCCACAAUUAAAGAAUUAAAAAUAUAUUAAAUACCCUGUUGAGACCAUUUAUUAUAACCCGUACCCUACUGAUUUGAGACGAGAUUUAUGCAUGAUUAAAACGAGAUUUAUUGCCGAUUUUUGUGGAUCUGAAUGUCGAAAGUGAAUCAUAAACAGUGGUUGAGAAACUUGUACGGUGUGGGAUGCUUUUACCGGUAUAUAGGAGCAGUAAUAACUGAGAGCAAAUCAUUCGUUUAUUAAUUAGGCCCUGUUUGGAUGCAUAGUUAAAAAAUUUUAAAAAAUUUUUAUUUUAUGGUUUUAGAGGUUUUAGUCUGAAUGAAAUAUGAAAUUCUGUAACUAUAAAAAAAUUCCAUAGCAUUAUUUUUAACCUGUUUGGAUACAUAUCAUACAAUUCCAUAAUAUUUAUAACAAUUAAAUUUCUAAAAUUUUAAAAUUUAAAAUUCAAAACUCAAAAUUCAAAAUUUAAAAAUAAAAUUUUAAAAAUUAAAAUUCAAAAUUCAAAAUAUAAAAUUAAAAUUAAAAAUUAAAAUUAAAAAAUUAAAUUAGAUUUUAUGUUUUAAAUUUGAAAUUUGGAAUUUGGAAUUUAAAAUUUAAAUUUUGAAAUUUGAAAAUUUAAAUUUUAAAAUUUAAAGUAUACCAUUUAAAAUUUAAAAAAUGUAUAAUUAAAAUUUUAAAUUUUAAAUUUAAUAAUUUAUAAAUUUACAUAUUUAUAAAUUUAAAUUUUAAAAUUUAAGUUUAAAUUUAAAUUUUGAAAAUUGAAAAUUAAAAAUUAAAAAUUUGAAAUUUGAAAAUUUGAAGUUUGAAAUUUGAAAAUUUUUGAAAUUUAAAAACCUUUAAAAUUUUGAAAUUGAAAUUUGAAAUUCGAAAUUUGAAAUCUAAACUUUUUGAAAUUUGAAAUUUGAAAUUCGAAUAUUCAAAAUUUGAAUUUGGAAUUUGAAAUUUAAAAUUUAAACUUUUAUGAAAUUUGAAAUUUAAAAUUUGAAAUUUCAAAAUUUAAAAUCAAAAUAAAGAUUGAAUUUUUAAAAUUUUAAUUUGAAAUUUAAAUUUUAUGUUGAAAUUUAAAAUUUAGAAAUUGUACAUCUUUGGAGCACAAAAUGGGAAUUUUUUUUCUUUAGUUUAAAGUGGAUUGUAAGUUAACUUUAUUUUUUGGAGUAUAGUAUAACUAUACUUCAAAAAAUUACGUCAUUUUUUUUUUUUCUUCCAACGCUUCAUAGGAUUUUUUUCUACCGGCGCAGUAUAAUUUAACUAUGCUACGUUUUUAGAGGUAUCCGAAACGGGUUUGAUUUUGUUAUUAUACAAUGUUCUGAGAUUGACCCUUUAACUUUUCCGAGUAGUUUGAGAUGUUGUAUUUUAGUUGCCGAAAUUAGUAAAAUUUACUUUAAAUCAAAAUAAUUGAAAGUUAAAAGAAUCUCAAUCGAAUUUGAAACAAAAAAAUUUUUUUACUCCAGCUAGUUUCGACAACAAUUAGCAUGCGCAUAACCAUCAAUGCGCGAACGUAUAAAGUAGAAUCAGAAACAUAAAGUCAAAUUAAAAUAGAAAGCUUUUUAUCAUGUUAGAGCAAGCACAUGUACUGCACGAACUCGUGUGUGCCAUCGCAAUGAUCAUGGAGCCCCAAUCACACCCCAUGUGAGGAGCAAACACCAAAACCACGUUACGCCACCAACAGCAUAAUUGGACGCUGUCUACAUUGUACCUACUCUUAAAUAUCCUCCCGUAUUCUCGAUCUAUCUAUAAAAUUUUCGUAUCCGAUCGGUUUGUUUAUCGAAAAUUUUUAAAGAAAAUAAGAAGUGAUAAUCCGUCGUCGCUCAGACCAAUCGACUUGAGGUGCAAGACAUAGAUAACGAGUAUUUUGCAUAGUUUGUAUGCUCUUUCUAGAUCCAAGGAGACGACCUUACAUGUUCUUUUCUGAAGCGUCAAAGAUGAUAUACAUUCAUAGUUACAUAUUGCAUGGUAAAACUAUGUUUUAGAGGGAAAGUGAAAUCUCAAAACGCUCAUGUUCACAUCAAAGACCUUAGUUGUCAUUGCAAGCAUGCAGUAAGAUAAGCUCGCACAAAUUAUACGUGAAAGAAGGAUUUGGUAAUAAACAUUAAAAACAAAACAAACAAAACAAAAAAAAAAAAGAAAGCAAAAGAAAAAGGUGUUAGAAGCUCCGGAAAGCAAUCCAAAGGCUGUAUUUUAUGAACUGCAUUCGUGCGUCUCCUACAAAAUCUUUGCGUAAAAUGGAGGGUGGAAGCUUCUUGAUCACCCUUUCAUAAUCAUUGAUAAUUGAGAUGGCAAACUCAAAAUUUAAAUAAUGGGAUAUCUUCUAUAUUUUUAAGUUUCAAUUAGCGUAGUAGAGAGACAGACGAUCAUAGAGGAUCGUUUGUGGUGAGAAAUAACGAGAUAAGAGAAGAGAGGAGGCAAGAAUACAGACGUAAGGCCGCACAACUUUAAUGACAAGCUCUUGGAUAGAAGUGAGUAGAGGCUGAUGAUAGUGGCUAGUACCAUUAUCGCCGGCUACAGGCACCUCCGACGACAUUUAUUGCAAAUCAAAAAAGCAACCUCUGACGACAUUUAUUGCAAAUCAAAGAAAGGAAGAGAAGAGAUGGGUGGAUAGGAAGUACAGAUAAAGAAGGUGAAAAAAAAUAAACAAAUGUACAUAAAAUAGAUAAGGAUGUGAUGAAAUAGUAGUCUCAUUACCGUUUUAGCCCUCACCGGAUCCAUUGUUUACGGCAAAAGAGGAUGGCAUGAUUAAAUAAAAAGAAAAACACUUGCAUACAAUAUAUAAAUAAGUAUGGGAGGGGAGGAGUUACUAUACAUUAUCUGUCGAGAAAAAAAAAAGAUAUAUAUAUAUGAAGAUUUAAAAGAAGUAAAGGAGAAGAGAUCGAUGGGCUCAGUAUGGGACCGUACGAAAUACGCUAUAAUGACAGCCAUCGUCAUGAAGAAUGUCACUCCUAACAACGUUAUAAGUCGUACUCACAGCAAGAGAGAACUAUGCCUUGUGAGAAACGAGAAAAAAGAAGAGCUGGGGCCGGGGGGGGGGGGGAGCUCAUGAGAAGGUUACUCUCAACAACGUUAUAAGUCGAACUUGGUAUAAGAAACCAUCUCAUGAAGAAGGUCACUCUCAACAACGUUAUAAAGUCGAACUUUGAAAAGAGAACUGUGCUCGCGAGAAAGAGAAAGACAGGUGGGGGGAAAGGGGGGAGCAAGGUUGGACAAUACAAAACAUCAACACAUAUACCGUUUAGAACUAACAGUAUGUUAUUUUAUAGAUUGUAAACAAAUAAUUAAUAUUUGUUAAACCUUUAGUCAUAUCUCAGUACAAAUGUAAAAUAUAAUAUAUUUCGCAUUUAUUUUAUCUAUUUGUUUUUUAAAUUAAUGUAAGAAGAAAAUUCAUAUUUAUUAAAUUUUUAGCUAUAUUUUACAAAUAUGAUCAAUGAUAAAAAGUGAAAUUGAUGUGAUAAUUUAUAAUUAAAUAAAGCAUACGCCAAUAUAAAUACCUAAUAAUUUAAUAUAAUCCAACUAUAUAUGUACUACAUGAAGCUGUAAAUAUUGGAUCAUUUUAAGACUUUUUCUUAUCACAUUCAAAUUUAUUUCAUAAUUUUGUAAAGCAUGUAUAUAGAUAUUAUUCAUUUUAAAGCACAAAAUAAAAUUUCGACCCUCGAAUUAAAUAAUUUUUUAGCUAUUGUAAAAUAAAUAUUUUUGCACAAACUAGUUGGGCGUACAAGCAAAUACACGUGUCACAAUUAUUUUAAUGGUGCAUCAGAUUUAUCUAAAAAUUACAAUAAAAUAUUAUUUUUUUAAAAAAAAUAAAUUUAUUUGUUAUAUUUUGAGUAGAAAAAUCUGCAACAUCCUAUGUAAUAUUUUUUUCUUUUUAUGUAUAUUGAAUAUUUCUUUAUGUUUUUUGAAUUCUCACAAACCGAAAAUUUUUGUAUGUGUUUUAAACUAAAAGUAUCAAAAUUUUAAUUCACCUUUAAUUCAGAUUUAAAUUUUAAUUAAUCCAUUUUAAUCAAAAUAUUUAAUUAUUAAUUCAAUUUGAUAUCCAAAAUCAAAUUUAAGUCACGCUUCAAACUAAAAUUGGAAUUUAAAAACUCUUAAAUUUAAAUUAAAUUUAAGUUGUAUAUUUAAAUUUCAAUAUUAAUUUAAGAUGAAACAAAAUUUUAAAAUUAAAUAAGAUUGAAAUUUAAAUGUAUAUUUAAAAUUAAAUUCCAAUUUGAUUGUUUGUUACAAUCAACAAAAAGUUAAUGUAACAGCUAAAUAUUAGUACCCAAAAUUAAGAUAAUAUGAAAAUAUUCACCUGAAAAGAAAAAAUAUGGAAUAAUAUAACAAUAUUUAAUAGGAAAAGUAAAGGUUAUUCAUUAGAGAAAAAGAGAAACUAAAAUUUCUUUCGUCACAUUAUUUGUUUGCAUACGUAAGGAAAAAAAAAAAACCAAAAGUUUUUUUCGUUUAAGAAGUGGUUUGUUCGACAUUCCAAAAAUCAAGAUAUGUGUUUUUAUAUAUUGUAUAGAUAUUUCGUUUGUACGUAUUGAAAAGUUAGUUCUAUAUAUAUUGCAAACUUGAUCAUGAUGUAUGAACUUGAAAGCAGCCGGGUAGAAUUUCGAACUUUACAACUUAUACCAUUAAUUAGGACAACCACAAAUCCUCAAAAGGGUUUUUUUUUUUUAGAGAAAAAUACCAUGCUAUCGCUUCGGUUAUUUUUUUUAGAAAUGAAUUUAGCUGAAAAUGUGAAGCAAUUAAGAUUCGAACUUGGAACCUCGAGUACCACCCAGUAAAUUCUUUACCACUUGCAUUGGAAACAGUCGAUGCAAAUUUUGCAGAGUUAGCAUAGAUUUUUCAGUAGUAUAUAUAUAUAUAUAUAUGUAGGAGGCAUAUGGAGCGUGCCUUUAGGGCAAAAGCUACAAUGGAACUCAUGCUCGUCUCCUCCUCAUCCUUCAAGCAUUCUCUCUUCUCCACCACCCCAUAUAGUAGUUCCCUAAGGUCCUCACGAGCUCUCGUGAUUAAUUGUUGCCACUCUCCAAAGCCUAGGUGUGCAUGCACGAUCACUUUCUCUUCGAUUCUUUGCUUUCAUUUGUUAUUAUUAUUUUCAAUGCUUACCACAUUUUUUCCUUUUUUUUUUCCUGGGUCAUUUCAAUGUUAAUACAUGUAAGUGGAUGCAUGCGUUCAUGCGCAGGAAAUCGGGCAAAGAUGUGGUAAUAAGGGGCAGUGUGCAGUAUCAGGAGAAGCUGGAGGUGUUGAAGUCGAUGGAGGGGUGGGUGGAGGACAACAUCUUGACCCUCCUCAAGCCCGUCGAGAGCUCGUGGCAGCCGCAGGACUUCCUCCCGGACUCCUCGUCAUCGUCGGCGGAGGAAUUCUUCGACGCCGUGCGAGAGCUCAGGGAGCGGGCGGCGGGGAUCCCCGACGAGUACUACGUGUGCCUGGUGGGCAACAUGGUGACGGAGGAGGCGCUGCCGAUGUACCAGAGCAUGGCGAACAGGUUCGACGGGGCAAACGACGAGACAGGGGCCAGCGCCACCUCGUGGGCGCAGUGGAACCGGGGCUGGUCCGCCGAGGAGAACCGACACGGCGACGUGCUCACCCGCUACCUCUACCUCAGCGGCAGGCUGGAUAUGCGCCAGGUCGAGAGAACCAUUCAGCACCUCAUCGGUUCAGGAAUGGUACGUACGCACGCACGUACGUACGUAAUGCUUUUAAAAACACCAAAUACUUCGCGUUUAUAAAUUUUUCAUAAUUAAAUUUAUUCUUUUGAUAUAUUAAUUCUAUCUGUUAAAUCAUAUUAUUUUACUGGUUAUUCACUAAAUCUUAGGAACUACGUACUAUUAUUACAACUUUAUAAAUCUUCAUUAAAAAUCGAAAAUUCAUAAGGGAGCAUACUAUAUCUAUUUAUAUGUGUAUAUACACACACACACACACACGUACUAACUAAACAAAACAUAUUUGAUAUAUUUGGGUACAAAUGUGGAACGAAGAUACUGCAAGAAGCGCACGAUGCCUACCGGGGCUUCGUGUUCACGUCGUUCCAGGAGAGGGCGACGUUCGUGUCGCACGGCAACACGGCGCGGCACGCCAAGGAGCACGGCGACGCCACCCUGGCCAGGAUCUGCGGGCUCAUCGCGGCCGACGAGCGGCGCCACGAGACAGCCUACACGAGGAUCGUGGCGAAGCUGUUCGAGCUCGACCCCGACAACGCCGUGCGCGCAUUCGCCGGCAUGAUGAGGGAGAGCGUCACGAUGCCGGGGCUCCUCAUGUUCGACGGCCGCGACCGCGACCUCUUCGGGCACUACUCUGCGGUGGCGCAGCGGCUCGGGGUGUACACGGCCGGGGACUAUGCGGACAUCGUGGAGCACUUCGUGAAGAGGUGGCGGGUGGAGGAUGUGGGGCCGGGGUUGACCGGGGAGGGGAGGCGGGCGCAGGACUAUGUAUGCGGCCUCCCGCAGAGAAUCAGGAAAAUGGUGGAGAGGGCGCAGGAAAGGAGCGCACGGGAGUCGCGGUUGCUUCCCUUCAGUUGGAUUUUUAACAGAGAAGUCCUCGUGUGAAAUCUAUUUUCCAUUUCCCUCCUGCAUUGUUAUUUUCCUACUAGAGCAUAAAAGGGUUGGAUGGUUUUUCAGAAAAAGUGUCUAAAAAAUAUUUUUGGAGAAAAAAAAUUUUAUCGGAAUUUUUUUUUUUUCAGCUUCGCGUCUAUUUGGUUUUUUAAAAAAACAAAAUUAGCUUUUUUGUUUUCAAAUUUUAUGAAAAAACAGUGUUCUUGUUUUCCUUUUUUUUUCCUAAAAUAAUGAAAACACUAGUUUUUCAUAAUAUCCGGAAACAAGCUAUUUCAAAAAGUUAGUUUUUUUAAACAAAAAGAAAAGAAAGCUGAAAAGAAAUUUCUUAUAAAAUUUUUUUUCUGGCAUAAAAAUUUUUUACACUUUUUUGAGAAACCAAACAUCCCCUAAAUUAUUGUCCCUUUUUUUUAUUCGUGUGAAAGUAAUUUACCCUUUGGAUUGUCAAGUUAUAGGAUUAUUAUCUUUUUUAGAUUGUAAUUCUAGUAUUUCUCUGAGAAUAAAUGCGUUAAAAAAGUGAUGAUUGUGUGUAUAUAUUAAAAAAACAAGGCAAACAUUUUAGGGAUGAAAAAAAAGAGAAAAAACUACAAAAAAGAAGAGAAUGUAUACAAUAGACCUAUAUUAGAAAUAUUAUUAUAAUUAUUUAUAGAUUUGUGACAAGUGAACUUUUUUUAGAAGAGAAUGUAAUCUAGUAGAAGAGGUGUUUCCUUUUGUUUACAUCAACCCAACUGGGAAAGAACUUUGCCCUAAACUUCAACAAACAGGGGAAAAACACAAAAGAGAAUCUUUCUUGGAUAUUUUCCUGCAGUGUUAUCUGACAAGUUAUACUUUCAUUUUGUAACACUAUUUUUUUUUUGAUAAAAAUGUAUGGAAUUUAUUUGUACUAUAAAUCAUUUUGAAUUAACUGCUUAACUUUUCAAAUUUUUGAUUUUAUUAUUCAAUUUUUCAAUUUAUCUGAUUUAAAUCGGUCAAUAAUACUUCGACUUCAAAAUUUAAACUAAUUACGUACUCUAAUAUAUACAUAGUUUCGAGAAUAGUAGAAAUAUACUAAUGUAAAAAUAAACGAUAAAUUUAAAUUUUAAAAUCAAAUUGCCGUUUGCAGACUCAAAUCAGUACCAUAUAACCAUAUAACCCAAUCAGAUGACACUGGAAUAUUUGUCACUAAUAUAUUAAUUAAUCACUACCAUCAAUGCACGAAUUGUAAAGCGGAGUUGGGGACAUAAAAGCCAAAAAAAUAUGAAGCUUCAAUUGUGGGUGCAUGCCAUAGCAUGUUCGUGCAUGGAGCCCCAUCACCUCCCACGUGAGGAGUUAAACACUACAAAAAUACUCAUAAUUUUUCUCAUCGGACAUUGCCUACCUUGUACCUAACUCUUAAAUAUCCUCUGCGUAGAAAAUUUUCGUAUGCGGUGUAUUCGAUUUCGUCGAUAGUGAAAAAGGGGUGAAGUAAUUUUAGAUCGUGAAUAUAUAUAUUUUUACUAUUUGAUUCUCCGCAAUAUGAGUUCGAUCGUAUUUCGAAUUCACCAAAUACCUUCUGUAAUUGACUUUGAUCCAUUUUGGGCCGCGCCGGACUCAGUUAUGAAUAAAAAAUGUAAAGAAAAAAUUAACAAAAUAUUAAUAUUGGGGAUCGAACUUAUUUUUUCCACUUAAUAUUAAUGUGUUGGAAUUCAAUAUUUUUUUGUCAAACAAAAACGGGAAGUAAAGAACUUGGGCUUUUACACCAUUGAUAUCUUUCUAGACAAACAACAUAUAUAAUUGAGUAAAGGUUAGUUUCCCGGUAUUAACAACUAAUUAUAGGGGAGAAGUAAAUCUCCUCCAUUAAGAAAGAUUCUUAGUUCAAUUUAAUAUCCGUCAUUUAAUAACAUAGUUUUCUGUUUCUUGUUCCUUUCGUUAUCUCUGUUUUAAUCAAGAUUUAUCAGACAUCUUUUAGACUGAUGAACAGUAUUAGUAUUAGAAUUAUUUUAAACUAAUUCCUAUAGAAUUGACUUGUGUGUAUCUAACGCGCCCUUACAUUUUUUGGACGGGAAAUAUUACCAACAUUAUUAAAAAAUAUAUAGCCUAUUCUUUUUCUCAUCAUCACUUUUUUUUUUUUUUUGCUAAAUUACAUAAAACCUUCUGUCAAAACGCGAUUUUUCACUUUUCCCCCGUCAUUUAAAAGCCUACACUUUACCCCCUUGUAAAAUGAAAAAUGUUUACAGGACGGUACGGUGUGUACUGUGAUGAUAAAAUGACCAUUUCGUCCCUCAUCAUUUUCGUCUUCUCCCUCAUCUUCCUCAACAGCAACCUCGAUCGGCUGCGAAGUUUCUUCGCGGUUCACGCCUCAUCUUCCUCUUGCACCCUCGCCGCCCCUCGAUUUCGGCCGGAUGAAAAUCGAGGUGGGGGUGGAUGGAGAGAUGGGUAACGACAACGAGGGCGAAGGCGCGGCGGCGGAGGAGGGCGAAGAGGUGUUUGUGGGCGUGGACGGGGAUGUAGGCGAGGGCGAGGUAGUGGAGGAGGACGAGGCGGCAAGACGGAGGAAGCGAAGCAACAAGGAAGAGAGCGGAGGGGUAUUUUGGGCAUAAAAAAAUAUUUUAUAACAAAACCCUAACGGAUCACUAACGAUAGGGGGCGAAAUGAACAUUUUUUAUUUUACAAGGGGGCAAAGUGUAUAUUUUUAAAUGACAGAAGAAAAAAAUAAAAAAUCACCUUUUGACAUAGAGAUUUUCUCUAAUUUAGCUUUUUUUUUUCCCCUCUUUUUAAGCAGAAUAGAAUAAAGUCCAACAUGCAUUUAAUUAUAUGGUAUAUUGGUUUUGGAAUUUGGAUUAGCUUCGAGUGUCAAUUUAUGUUCCCCUUGUGGGACUAUGGCCCAGUGUGCAACUGCAACGGAACGGGACAGAGGGGUCUGCUUUAAUUGAUGGUGUGGAAUUUUGGACUUUAACAUGCAUGCACGAGUUUUGUACGGUUGCGUUAAUGUCUCGUUUUGACGUUUGUGGUGUGGGUAGAUGGAGACGCAAACAAUAUAUAUAUAAAAUUAUCAAUUUUGAGACAUUUUGGUUACUGGUCAAAUAAUAUUAAAAAAAUUUUAAAUUUAGUUUUCAAAUACUUUCAAUAAUAUAGAUUAAGUGUAACGAAACCAAUCAUCGAUUUGGAAGCCGCAUCAUCGAAAACAACUUGGUAGUAUAGCAACCAGACUCUAUAUAUAUAUAUAUAUAGAGAGAGAGAGAAAGAGAGAGAGAGUUCUAUUACUAUAUAUAUUAUCGAUAGUGAUCAAACGUUUUGUGCUAUCGAAUUUUUUGUUAUUAAAUUUAUCUCUUUGACUAAUUUUAUCCAUUAUAUUAUACUAUUAAACUAACCAUUCACUCAAUUUUAGAUAAUCACUAUUAUUCUAAACGCGCAUCUUUUCAUCUAAGAAUCAAAAAUCGCUUAGUACUAUAAUAGUAUAGUAGUCUAAUUUUAUAUAUAUAUAUAAAAUUAAAAUUAAACUUACAUGUACGCACCUUGCCCAUUACUACAACUGUGCGUCUCUUUAAUUACAGUGAAACAGUAUAUAUAGUUUGUACCUACAGUAGACACAAGGAGGACCAAGAAUUACAACGUAAGAUCGUGUUUACACUGUUUAGCUUUGAUUGUUUGAAUGGUACACGUCAUGUGUACACUUUUGGCGCUCAUCCAAUUACGCACUCAGGAGUAUAAUGAUUUGGCUCACUGAUUAGUGGAACUAUUCUACAAGCCUUAAUAACGAGAGUUUAAAGCUUUUUUCUUUAAAACUAUACAUCUUUGUAGGAUUGCGUGAAUCAUAUUUUAGAACAGACCUUUUUUGAACAUAGUUGGAGCUCAAGUUAACGCAAAGGGCAAUCAGGUCUAGCCUAGGAGUUAUUAGUUAAUUUGCGUGGAUCUCGGAGGUUGAACUUGCGAUCGAACUUGAGAAAUCGAUGGUGCUGAGAUUCGUUCUCACUCGUAUUUAUGUAGAGAUCAAUUUUUCAACUUCAGCGGGAUUGGACAGAAAGUUUAGUUGAUAGAACGCGCUAUUAAUUUACUCUCGGACUUCUAAGCAAGUAGUUAGGUUGGGGAACAUGACAUGAAUUUUAAAUCUUGGGUAGUUGUGUGGAUUUAACAUGAAUUUGUUAGUCCCAUACCCACAAAGUGGGACGAAGCAUGCGCUUUCUAUAUAUAGCUAGAUCCAAGGAAACACCUACAUGUUCUUUUUUGAAGCGUCAAAGAUGAUAUACAUUCAUAGUUACAUAUUUUGAUAAAACUAUGUUUUAGAAGGGAAAGGAAAAUCUCAAAACUCUCAUAUUCACAUCAAAACCUUAGUUGUCAUUGCACGCAUGCAGUAAGAUAGGCCUGCACAAAUUAUACAUGGAAAGAAUGAUUUGGUGAUAAAACAUUAAAAACAAAAACAAAACAAAAAAAAGAAAGCAAAAGAGAAAGGAGCUAGAAGGUUCGGAAAGCAAUCCAAAAGGCUGGUAGUUUAUGAACUACAUUCGUAGAUCUCCUACAAAAUCUCUUGCGUAAAAUGGAGGGUGGAAGCUCUUGAUCACCCUUUCAUAAUCAUUGAUAAUUGAGAUGGCAACUCAAAAUUUAAUAUGAAAAUAUCUUCUAUAUAUUUUUAGUUUCAAUUACGUAGUAGAGAGACACAGAUUAUAGAGAAUUGUUGUGGGAGGAGAAUAACGAGAUAGAGAAAGAUAGGAGCANCCUACAAAAUCUCUUGCGUAAAAUGGAGGGUGGAAGCUCUUGAUCACCCUUUCAUAAUCAUUGAUAAUUGAGAUGGCAACUCAAAAUUUAAUAUGGGAUUAUCUUCUAUAUUUUUUUAGUUUCAAUUACGUAGUAGAGAGACACAGAUUAUAGAGAAUUGUUGUGGGAGGAGAAUAACGAGAUAGAGAAAGAUAGGAGCAAGAAUACAGAGGUAAGGCCGUACAACUUUAACGACAAGCUCUUGGAUAGAAGUGAGUAGAGGCUGAUGAUAGCGGCCAGUCCCAUUAUCGCCGGCUACAAGCACCUCCGACGACAUUUAUUGCAAAUAAAAAAAAGCACCUCCGACGAUAUUUAUUGCAAAUCAAAGAAAGGAAGAGAGAGGAUGGGUGGAUAGGAAGUACAGAUAGAGAAAGUGAAAAAAAUAAAUAAAAGUACAUAAAAUAGAUAAGGAUGAUGAGGAAUAAUAAUCUCAUUACCGUUUUAGUCCUCACCGGAACCAUCGUUUACGGCAAAAGAGGAUGGCAUGCAUUAAAUACAAAAGAGAAAAACGGCUGCAUACAAUAAAUAUAAUAAUGAACGGGAGGGGAGGAGCUUACUAUACAUUAUCUGUCGAGAAAAAAAAAAGGAUAUGAGAGAUUUAAAAGAGGUAAAGAAGAAGAGAUCGAGGGCUCAGUAUGGGACCGUACGAAGAUACGCUAUAAUGACAGCCAUCUCAUGAAAAAUGUCACUCUCAACAAUUAACAUUAUAAGUCGUACUCACAGCUAGAGAGAACUAUACUUGCAAGAAAGAGAAAAAAGAAGGGGGGGGGGGAGAGAAGGUUGGUAUAAUGACAACCAUCUCAUGAAGAAGGUUACUCUCAACAACGUUAUAAGUCGAACUUACAGUGAAAGAGAACCGUGCCUGCGAGAAAGAGAAAGAAGGGAUGGGGGGGAAGGGGGGCGAAAGGUUGGACAAUACAGUAAAUCGACACAUAUACCGUUUAGAACUAAUGGUAUGUUAUUUUUUAUAGAUUAAUGUAAACAAAUAAUUAAUAUUUGUUAAACUUUUAGUCAUAUCUCAUACAAAUGUAAAAUAUAAUAUAUUUCGCCUUUAUUUUAUCUAUUUAUUUUUUAAAUUAAUGUAAGAAGAAAAUUCAUAUUUAUUAAAUUUUUAGCUAUAUUUUACAAAUAUGAUAUAAUGAUAAAAAGUAAAAUUGAUGUGAUAAUUGAUAAUUAAAUAAAGCAUACGUCAAUAUAAAUACCUAAUAAUUUAAGAUAAUCCAACUAUGUACUACAUGAAGCUGUAAAUAUUGGAUCAUUUUAAGACUUUUUCUUAUCACAUUCAAAUUUAUUUCAUAAUUUUGUAAAGCAUGUAUAUAGAUAUUAUUUAUUUUAAAGCACGAAAUAAAAUUUCGAACCUCGAAUUAAAGAAUUUUUUAGCUAUUGUAAAAUAAAUAUUUUUGCAGACACUAGUUGGGUGUACGAGCAAAUAGGUGUCACAAUUAUUUUAAUAGUGCAUCAGAUUUAUCUAAAAAUUACAAUAAAAUAUUAUUUUUUUUUAAAAAAAGUAAAUUUAUUUGUUAUAUUUUGAGUAGAAAAAUCUGCAACAUCCUAUGUUAUAUUUUUUUUCUUUUAUGUAUAUUGAAUAUUUCUUUAUGUUUUUUGAAUUCUCAUAAACCAAAAAUUUAUGUAUGUGUUUUAAACUAAAAGUAUCAAAAUUUUAAUUCACCUUUAGUUCAUAUUUAAAAUUUAAUUAAUCCAUUUUACUUAAAAUAUUUAAUUAUUAAUCGAAAUUUAAGUCACGCUUCAAACUAAAAUUUGAACUUAAAAACUCUUAAAUUUAAACUAAAUUUAAGUUGUAUAUUUAAAUUUCAAUAUUAAUUUAAGUGAAACAAAAUUUUAAAAUUAAAUAAAAUUGAAAUUUAAAUAUAUAUUUAAAAUUAAAUUCUAAUUUGAUUGUUUGUUACAAUCAACAAAAAGUUAAUGUAACGACUAAAUAUUAGUACACAGAAUUAAGAUAAUCUGAAAAUAUUCACCUAAAAAGAAAAAAUAUGGAAUAAUAUAACAAUAUUUAAUAGGGAAAGUAAAGGUUAUUCAUUUGAGAAAAAGAGAAACUAAAAUUUUUUUCGUCACAUUAUUUGUUUGCGUAAGAAAAAAACGAAACCAAAAGUUUUUUUUUUGAGAGAUAGAUAGCACGGUACCCGCUUCGUUUAUUUCAUUUAAAAAUAAACUUAGCUAAAAAAGUGAAUCAACUAGGAUUCAAACUUGGGUCUCGGCUACCAACAAUCAGGCCCUUUGCCACUUGCUCUAGGGACGGUCGGUAAAACCAAAAGUUUUUUUCAUUUAAGAAAUAGUUUGUUCGACAUUCUAAAAUUCAAUAUACGUGCUUUUAUAUAUUGUAUAUAUAUUUCGUAUAUAAGUAUCGAAAAGUUAAUUCUAUAUAUAUUGCAAACUUGAUCAGGAUGUAUAAACUUGAAAGUGGCCGGGUAGAAUUUUGAACUCUACAACUUAUACCAUUAAUUAGGACAACCACAAAUCCUGCUGAGUUUUUUUUUGAAAGAAAGACAGCAAGUUAUUGCUUCGUUUAUUUUUUUUAGAAAUAAAUUUGACUGAAAAUGUGAAUCAAUUAAGAUUCGAACUUAGAAUCUCGAGUAUCAACCACUAAACUCUUUACUACUUACAUUAGGGACCGUCGAUACAAAUAUUGCAGAGUUAGCAUGGAUUUUUCAGUAGUAUAUAUAUAUAUAUAGGAGGCAUAUGGAGAGUGCUUUAGGUGCAUAUUGUGUUGGAGACUCGAAACUCCAUACUUUUGAGGGCAAAAGCUAGAUAUGGAACUCACGCUCGUCUCCUCCUCAUCCUUCAAGCAUUCUCUCUUCUCCACCACCCCAUAUAGUAGUUCCCUAAGGUCCUCACGAGCUCUCGUGAUUAAUUGUUGCCACUCUUCAAAGCCUAGGUGUGCAUGCACGAUCACUUUCUCUUCGAUUCUUUGUUUUCAUUUCUUAUUAUUAUUUUCAAUGCUUACCACAUUUUUUCCUUUUUUUUUUCCUGGGUCAUUUCAAUGCUAAUACAUGUAAGUGGAUGCAUGCGUUCAUGCGCAGGAAAUCGGGCAAAGAUGUGGUAAUAAGGGGCAGUGUGCAGUAUCAGGAGAAGCUGGAGGUGUUGAAGUCGAUGGAGGGGUGGGUGGAGGACAACAUCUUGACCCUCCUCAAGCCCGUCGAGAGCUCGUGGCAGCCGCAGGACUUCCUCCCGGACUCCUCGUCAUCGUCGGCGGAGGAAUUCUUCGAUGCCGUGCGAGAGCUCAGGGAGCGGGCGGCAGGGAUCCCCGACGAGUAUUACGUGUGCCUGGUGGGCAACCUGGUGUCGGAGGAGGCGCUGCCGACGAACCAGAGCAUGGCGAACAGGUUCGACGGGGCAAACGACGAGACAGGGGCCAGCGCCACCUCGUGGGCGCAGUGGAACCGGGGCUGGUCCGCCGAGGAGAACCGACACGGCGACGUGCUCACCCGCUACCUCUACCUCAGCGGCAGGCUGGAUAUGCGCCAGGUCGAGAGAACCAUUCAGCACCUCAUCGGUUCAGGAAUGGUACGUACGCACGCACGUACGUACGUAAUGCUUUUAAAAACACCAAAUACUUCGUGUUUAUAAAUUUUUCAUAGUAAAAUCUAUUCUUUUGAUUAAUUCUAUCUGUUAGAUCAUAUUAUUUUACUGAUUAUUCACUAAAUCCUAGAGACUAGGUACUAUUAUUACAACUUUAUAAAUCUUUAUUAAAAAUCAAAAAUUCAUAAGGGAAUAUACUAUAUAUAUUUAUAUGUGUAUAUACACGCACACGUACUAACUAAACAAAACAUAUUUGAUAUAUUUGGGUACAAAUGUGGAACGAAGAUACUGCAUGAAGCUCACGAUGCCUACCGGGGCUUCGUGUACACGUCGUUCCAGGAGAGGGCGACGUUCGUGUCGCACGGCAACACGGCGCGGCACGCCAAGGAGCGCGGCGACAUCACCCUGGCCAGGCUCUGUGGGCUCAUCGCGGCCGACGAGCGGCGCCACGAGACCGCGUACACAAGGAUCGUGGAGAAGCUGUUCGAGCUCGACCCCGACAACGCCAUGCGCGCAUUCGCCGGCAUGAUGAGGGAGCGCGCCACGAUGCCGGGGCUCCUCAUGUUCGACGGCUGCGACCGCGACCUCUUCAGGCACUACUCUGCGGUGGCGCAGCGGCUCGGGGUGUACACGACCGGGGACUAUGCGGACAUCGUGGAGUACUUCGUGAAGAGGUGGCGGGUGGAGGAUGUGGGGCCCGGGUUGACCGGGGAGGGGAGGCGGGCGCAGGACUAUUUAUGCGGCCUCCCGCAGAGAAUCAGGAAAACGGUGGAGAGGGCGCAGGAAAGGAGCGCACGGGAGUCGCGGUUGCUUCCCUUCAGUUGGAUUUUUAACAGAGAAGUCCUCGUGUAAAAUCCAAUUUCCAUUUCCCUCCUGCAUUGUUAUUUACUUAUUUUCCUAAUAAAAGGGUUGUAUGGUUUUUCAGAAAAGUGUUUAAAAAAUAUUUUUGGAGAAAAAAAUUUUAUCGGAAAUUUUUUUUUUCAGCUUUGCGUCUAUUUGGUUUUUUUUAAAAAAAAAAUUAGCUUUUUUGUUUUCAAAUUUUAUGAAAAACUAGUGUUCUUGUUUUCUAUUUUUUUUCUAAAAUAAUGAAAACACUAGUUUUUCAUAAUAUCCGGAAACAAGCUAUUUCAAAAAGUUAGUUUUAUUUUAACAAAAAGAAAAGAAAGCUGAAAAGAAAUUUCCUAUAAAAAUUUUUUUCUUGCAAAAAUUUUUUUCACACUUUUUCGAGAUACCAAACAUAUAUCCCCUAAAUUAUUGUCUUUUUUUUUUCAUUCGUGUGAAAGCAGUUUCGAAGUAUAAAAAAACCGAAAAUACAGGGGUUAAGGCGAAAUGUUAAGCACGUAACUACCAUCACUAAUUAAUUAUAUAAUCACUGUUUAUAAGGUCACAGUAAACUAACCCAAUAUACCAAUAUACCAUGACUAAACUCAGACGUUUGCCGUUAAACUAAAAUUUUAAAUUUGAAUAACAAAUAAAAAUGUAGAGAUCAAUAAUCAUAUAAAGAUGAUAAGAGCUUUGAUACAUAUAUAAUCACAUAAUAACUGAGUGAAUUUAGUUUAUUUAACUUUUCAACCUAUUAUUUUAGCUUUAAAACUUUUCACUUCGUCAAUUAAGUUUUAUUAAAUAUCAACUUUUUUUAAGAUAUGUAAGAGAAGAUUUUUUUUAAGUGAACAGUGUUUAGAUAUUUAUUAAUAUUAUUAUAAAGAAUUCACUUUAUUUGAUUCGUAAUAAACAUGACUUGAUGACUAUGCUAAAAGACCAAAUGAAAAGAAACCAAAGAGAACCCAUGUAAAAGAAGAAAAAAACAUCAAAAAAAGAAAAAAAAAUAGGGAUUUUAUAAACGGUACAAAAAAAUUAUAUAAAAGAAAAGAUAAAAAAAACGAAAAGCUUUCUAUAAAUAUUAGUAAACUUUAUAUAUGUGUGUCAGUAGUGAGUAGUGAAAAAAUUACGUAAAUAAGAGUCUCUUUAUGAUCUUAAUGUUAGAUUUUUUCUAUUAUUAGGGUAUUGAGCUGUUAGACUUCCCGUUNNNNNNNNNNNNNNNNNNNNNNNNNNNNNNNNNNNNNNNNNNNNNNNNNNNNNNNNNNNNNNNNNNNNNNNNNNNNNNNNNNNNNNNNNNNNNNNNNNNNNNNNNNNNNNNNNNNNNNNNNNNNNNNNNNNNNNNNNNNNNNNNNNNNNNNNNNNNNNNNNNNNNNNNNNNNNNNNNNNNNNNNNNNNNNNNNNNNNNNNNNNNNNNNNNNNNNNNNNNNNNNNNNNNNNNNNNNNNNNNNNNNNNNNNNNNNNNNNNNNNNNNNNNNNNNNNNNNNNNNNNNNNNNNNNNNNNNNNAUUUAUAGAGAGAGAGAGUGAUCUACUGCUAUAUCAUUGAUAGUAUCAAAUAUUUUAUGCUAUCAAAUUUUUUAUUAUUAAAUUUAUUUUUUUAACUAUUUUUAUUUAUUAGAUUAUAUUAUUCAACUAAUCAUUUAUUGAAUUUUAGAAAAUUACUAUUAUUUUAAACGUGCAUUUCAUCCCAGAAACAAAAAACGCACAGUAUUAUAAUAGUAUAGUACUCCAUAUAUAUAUAUAUAUAAUUAAACUUACAUGUACGCACCUUGCCCAUUACUAUUACUGUGCGUCUCCUUAAUUACAGUGAAACUGUAUAGUUCGUACCUACAGUAGACACAAGGGGGACCCAAAAUUACAACGUAAGAUCGUGUUUACACUGUUUAGCUUUGAUUGUUUGAACGGUACACGUCAUGCGUACACUUUUGGCGCUCAUCCAAUUAUGCACUCGGGAGUAUAAUGAUUUGGCUCACUGAUUAGUGGAACUAUUCUACAAGGCUUAGUAACAAGAGCUUCACUGUAAAGUUUUUGUUAAAGAUGGUGUGAAUCGUAUUUUAUAACUGAUCUUUUUUGAACAUGGUCGAAGCUCAAGUUAACGCGAAGGGCAAUCAGGUCUAGCCUGAGAGUUAUUUGUUAAUUUGCGGGGAUCUCAGAGGUUGAACUUGCGAUUGAUCUUGAGAAAUCGACUGUGCUGAAAUUUGUUCUCACUCACAUUUAUGUAGAGAUCAAUUUUUCGACUUCAGCCAGAUUGGGCGAAAAGUUUAGUUGAUAGAACGCGCUACUAACUUACUCUCUGACUUCUGAGCAAGUAGUUAGGUUGCGGAACAUGACAUGAAUUUUAAAUAUUGGGUAGUUGCGUGGAUUUAACAUGAAUUUAUUAGUCCCAUACCCUCUAGACAUUAUUUAUUAAAAAAAUUUCCUCAUUGCCUUUCCAAAGAGCUCUAAUAUCAUAAAUACCCUUUAAAAUUUUGAAAUUUCAUAUUUGCCCUUAAAAAACAUAAAAGUUUUCAAAAAUGCCCUCAUAACUAUCACUCCGUCAUGGUUAGGCAUAACAGAUUCAAAAUACCGAAUUACCCUCCAAUGUAUUUUCAUUAAUACGCUCACAGAUUUUCUAUACAUUACAAAAUAACCCCUUAAUUUNUUUGCCCUAAACUUCAACAACCAGGGAAAAAAUACAAAAGAAAAUCUUUCUUUAAUAUUUUCCUGCAGUGUUAUCUGACAAGUUAUACUUUCAUUUUGUCACACUAUUUUUUUUUUUUGGGUAAAAAUGUAUAGAAUUUAUUUCAACUAUAAAUUAUUUUGAAUUAACUGCUUGACUUUUCAAAAUUUUGAUUUUAUUAUCCAACUUUUCAGUUUAUUUGAUUUAAGUCAGUCAAUAAUACUCUAAUAUAUACAUAGUUUCAAGAAUAGUAAAAACAUACUAACUAGAGAUGUAAAAAUAAACGAUAAGUUUAAAUUUUAAAAUCAAAUUGCUGUUUGCAGACUCAAAUCAGUACCAUGCAUGUAACCAUAUAACCCAAUCAAAUGACACUGGAAUAUUUGUCACUAAUAUAUUAAUUAAUCACCAAUGCACGAAUUGUAAAGCGGAAUUGGGGACAUAAAAGCCAAAAAAAUAUGAAGCUUUCAAUUGUGGGUGCAUGCCAUCGCAUGUUCGUGCAUGGAGCCCCAUCACCUCCCACGUGAGGAGUUAAACACUACAAAAAUACUCAUAAUUUUUCUCAUCGGACAUUGCCUACCUUGUACCUAACUCUUAAAUAUCCUCUGCGUAGAAAAUUUUCGUAUGCGGUGUAUUCGAUUUCGCCGAUAGUGAAAAAGGGGUGAAGUAAUUUUAGAUCGUGAAUAUAUAUAUUUUUACUAUUUGAUUCUCCGCGAUAUGAGUUCGAUCGUAUUUCAAAUUCACCAAAUACCUUCUGUAAUUGACUUUGAUCCAUUUUGGGCCGCGCCGGACUCAGUUAUGAAUAAAAAAUGUAAAGAAAAAAUUAACAAAAUAUUAAUAUUGGGGAUCGAACUUAUUUUUUCCACUUAAUAUUAAUGUGUUGGAAUUCAAUAUUUUUUUGUCAAACAAAAACGGGAAGUAAAGAACUUGGGCUUUUACACCAUUGAUAUCUUUCUAGACAAACAACAUAUAUAAUUGAGUAAAGGUUAGUUUCCCGGUAUUAACAACUAAUUAUAGGGGAGAAGUAAAUCUCCUCCAUUAAGAAAGAUUCUUAGUUCAAUUUAAUAUCCGUCAUUUAAUAACAUAGUUUUCUGUUUCUUGUUCCUUUCGUUAUCUCUGUUUUAAUCAAGAUUUAUCAGACAUCUUUUAGACUGAUGAACAGUAUUAGUAUUAGAAUUAUUUUAAACUAAUUCCUAUAGAAUUGACUUGUGUGUAUCUAACGCGCCCUUACAUUUUUUGGACGGGAAAUAUUACCAACAUUAUUAAAAAAUAUAUAGCCUAUUCUUUUUCUCAUCAUCACUUUUUUUUUUUUUUUGCUAAAUUACAUAAAACCUUCUGUCAAAACGCGAUUUUUCACUUUUCCCCCGUCAUUUAAAAGCCUACACUUUACCCCCUUGUAAAAUGAAAAAUGUUUACAGGACGGUACGGUGUGUACUGUGAUGAUAAAAUGACCAUUUCGUCCCUCAUCAUUUUCGUCUUCUCCCUCAUCUUCCUCAACAGCAACCUCGAUCGGCUGCGAAGUUUCUUCGCGGUUCACGCCUCAUCUUCCUCUUGCACCCUCGCCGCCCCUCGAUUUCGGCCGGAUGAAAAUCGAGGUGGGGGUGGAUGGAGAGAUGGGUAACGACAACGAGGGCGAAGGCGCGGCGGCGGAGGAGGGCGAAGAGGUGUUUGUGGGCGUGGACGGGGAUGUAGGCGAGGGCGAGGUAGUGGAGGAGGACGAGGCGGCAAGACGGAGGAAGCGAAGCAACAAGGAAGAGAGCGGAGGGGUAUUUUGGGCAUAAAAAAAUAUUUUAUAACAAAACCCUAACGGAUCACUAACGAUAGGGGGCGAAAUGAACAUUUUUUAUUUUACAAGGGGGCAAAGUGUAUAUUUUUAAAUGACAGAAGAAAAAAAUAAAAAAUCACCUUUUGACAUAGAGAUUUUCUCUAAUUUAGCUUUUUUUUUUCCCCUCUUUUUAAGCAGAAUAGAAUAAAGUCCAACAUGCAUUUAAUUAUAUGGUAUAUUGGUUUUGGAAUUUGGAUUAGCUUCGAGUGUCAAUUUAUGUUCCCCUUGUGGGACUAUGGCCCAGUGUGCAACUGCAACGGAACGGGACAGAGGGGUCUGCUUUAAUUGAUGGUGUGGAAUUUUGGACUUUAACAUGCAUGCACGAGUUUUGUACGGUUGCGUUAAUGUCUCGUUUUGACGUUUGUGGUGUGGGUAGAUGGAGACGCAAACAAUAUAUAUAUAAAAUUAUCAAUUUUGAGACAUUUUGGUUACUGGUCAAAUAAUAUUAAAAAAAUUUUAAAUUUAGUUUUCAAAUACUUUCAAUAAUAUAGAUUAAGUGUAACGAAACCAAUCAUCGAUUUGGAAGCCGCAUCAUCGAAAACAACUUGGUAGUAUAGCAACCAGACUCUAUAUAUAUAUAUAUAUAGAGAGAGAGAGAAAGAGAGAGAGAGUUCUAUUACUAUAUAUAUUAUCGAUAGUGAUCAAACGUUUUGUGCUAUCGAAUUUUUUGUUAUUAAAUUUAUCUCUUUGACUAAUUUUAUCCAUUAUAUUAUACUAUUAAACUAACCAUUCACUCAAUUUUAGAUAAUCACUAUUAUUCUAAACGCGCAUCUUUUCAUCUAAGAAUCAAAAAUCGCUUAGUACUAUAAUAGUAUAGUAGUCUAAUUUUAUAUAUAUAUAUAAAAUUAAAAUUAAACUUACAUGUACGCACCUUGCCCAUUACUACAACUGUGCGUCUCUUUAAUUACAGUGAAACAGUAUAUAUAGUUUGUACCUACAGUAGACACAAGGAGGACCAAGAAUUACAACGUAAGAUCGUGUUUACACUGUUUAGCUUUGAUUGUUUGAAUGGUACACGUCAUGUGUACACUUUUGGCGCUCAUCCAAUUACGCACUCAGGAGUAUAAUGAUUUGGCUCACUGAUUAGUGGAACUAUUCUACAAGCCUUAAUAACGAGAGUUUAAAGCUUUUUUCUUUAAAACUAUACAUCUUUGUAGGAUUGCGUGAAUCAUAUUUUAGAACAGACCUUUUUUGAACAUAGUUGGAGCUCAAGUUAACGCAAAGGGCAAUCAGGUCUAGCCUAGGAGUUAUUAGUUAAUUUGCGUGGAUCUCGGAGGUUGAACUUGCGAUCGAACUUGAGAAAUCGAUGGUGCUGAGAUUCGUUCUCACUCGUAUUUAUGUAGAGAUCAAUUUUUCAACUUCAGCGGGAUUGGACAGAAAGUUUAGUUGAUAGAACGCGCUAUUAAUUUACUCUCGGACUUCUAAGCAAGUAGUUAGGUUGGGGAACAUGACAUGAAUUUUAAAUCUUGGGUAGUUGUGUGGAUUUAACAUGAAUUUGUUAGUCCCAUACCCACAAAGUGGGACGAAGCAUGCGCUUUCUAUAUAUAGCUAGAUCCAAGGAAACACCUACAUGUUCUUUUUUGAAGCGUCAAAGAUGAUAUACAUUCAUAGUUACAUAUUUUGAUAAAACUAUGUUUUAGAAGGGAAAGGAAAAUCUCAAAACUCUCAUAUUCACAUCAAAACCUUAGUUGUCAUUGCACGCAUGCAGUAAGAUAGGCCUGCACAAAUUAUACAUGGAAAGAAUGAUUUGGUGAUAAAACAUUAAAAACAAAAACAAAACAAAAAAAAGAAAGCAAAAGAGAAAGGAGCUAGAAGGUUCGGAAAGCAAUCCAAAAGGCUGGUAGUUUAUGAACUACAUUCGUAGAUCUCCUACAAAAUCUCUUGCGUAAAAUGGAGGGUGGAAGCUCUUGAUCACCCUUUCAUAAUCAUUGAUAAUUGAGAUGGCAACUCAAAAUUUAAUAUGAAAAUAUCUUCUAUAUAUUUUUAGUUUCAAUUACGUAGUAGAGAGACACAGAUUAUAGAGAAUUGUUGUGGGAGGAGAAUAACGAGAUAGAGAAAGAUAGGAGCAAGAAUACAGAGGUAAGGCCGUACAACUUUAACGACAAGCUCUUGGAUAGAAGUGAGUAGAGGCNUUUUAUCAAUCCAAUAUUGAUGAUUCCAAUAAAUUUAAUAAUUUUAAUUACUUCGUAGAAGUUAAGAUAAAAAAAAUAUAAUAAGUAAUAGCUAACAGGGCAAUCUAAGUUAAAUAACAAUUUUAAAUGCAAUUAACUCAAAUAAAUAAUUAAUAAAAGUUAGAAGCAAAAUAGUACUAAAGAAUAUCAGCAAACAAUGUUAGUUUAGAUGUUAAACAAAUAAUAAACAAAAGUUAGGAGUUAAAUAGUAAAUCAUAUAAUUAAUAUACCCUUCAAAAGUUUCUCAACGCAUAGACAAAAUAAACAUUUCAAAUCUUAACCAGUGUUAGAUAGAUAUCUAACUAAGGUUAAUAUGACCUAAAAAGAUGGAGUAUACGGUGAGAGUAUUUUUAAAAGAAAGUAUGUAUUUAGAAUGGGUGAUUAUGAUAUAACAAAAUUUAUAAGGAUAUCUAUGAUAUUUCUGAAAUUUAGAGGGUACGAAUGAAAUUAACCCUUUAAACAACUAGUGAACAAAUUAAGGGUAAAAUGGUAAUUUCAUAUUUUGAAGUAGAAUGAAAAAAAUUGAUAAGUUGACGGAAGUUAGUGAAAAUUAACAGUGAGGGCGUUUAUGAAAAAAUAUUACGUUGGCAUUUGUGAAAUUUUAAAAAUUUGAAGGGUACAUAUGAUAUUACAUAACUUUGUGAGGGUACAAAUAAAAUUAACCCUUAUUUAUUUAUUGCGGCAAAGGGGCUAUGGUUUGGUUUAUGCACCAAAUUACGCGACUUUGACUUGUAAGUUGUAACUACCCUACACCGUAACUUUUGGUCUAAUUAAUUAGUCGAGGUGGCUUGCUAACUUAACCAAUUGGUGUGCAUCACUAACUUAGCUAAGUAUGCACUCAUAUCAUCAUCAUCAUUUUCAUUUGCAUAAUAAUCUUAGUAGCAAAAGGUUUGGUGGUUGGUACCUGAGACCCAAGUUCGAAUCCUAGUUGAUUCACAUUUUCAGCUAAGUUUAUUUCUAAAUGAAAUAAACGAAGUGGGUACUGUGCUACCUAUCUCUCAAAAAGAAAAAAAAAAAAAAUCUUAGUGGCACACGGCACACGUGGCAUGCUCAAAAUUACUGCUAAUAUUUAUCAAAACUAAUUAAUAAUAUUUUUUUGGUUUCUUAAAUUGAAAUGAUUUCGGAGAGUAUCAAUUUAAUCCAUAUUGAUGCAUAAAUUUUUAGUUGGCCAGUUGAAGAAAAAUAUAUGAAAUCCCAAUGAACUCAACUCAUAAUAUUUAGGAUUAAUUUUAUACAUAUCCCUGCAAAUAUAGUGAAUAACAAAUAUAUCUUUACAAAGUUCAACUUUCAUAUAUUGUUUUUAUAAAAAUGCCGAUAUUUUCAAAUAUGUCCAUAUGCUUUGUCACCGUUAAGGAACUAUUUAUAUUUCAAUUUUGUCAUCACAAAUACGUCUCUUCAAAAGUCACAACAGUAUAAUAUAAGCAGAAUAAAAAUAUCAAAAAUUAAUCAGGAUUAAAUAUUUAACAUAUGAAAGUUAAACUUUGUAAGAAUAUUUGUCAUUCACUAUAUUUACAGGGACCUAUACAAAAUUAACCCUAAUAUUU
Molecule: long non-coding RNA, 77097 nt
Filed under: Ananas comosus (pineapple)
Lineage: Eukaryota; Viridiplantae; Streptophyta; Magnoliopsida; Poales; Bromeliaceae
Description: long non-coding RNA (ACOM_LNC012804)
Source: RNAcentral